UACCAACUAUAAGUAGGCUUGCUCUGUUUUCAUUUUAGUACUGUUUAUUUUGUGGGGUUCUUUUUCUUUUUAGUACUGUUAGGUGCAGCAUUUUCAUUAUCUCUCUUUGUAAUGGUGUUAGUUGUUAGGUGCAGAUUCUGCCCAAACAGAAAAUAUGUUAGGUGCAGUAUUUUCAUACCUGCACAAUAUUUUUGUAGUAUGUAACAUAGUAUGAUUACAGUGGCAGAACUUCUUGUCGAUUCCCAAAUGUUUAAGAUGCUAACUCUUGUCUGAUAUGCUCAUCAUGUGUGGCCCUUUGUUUGAUACAUAAUGAAAUUGGUAAAAUCAAAUGCGCUGCCCUGUGUUUAUAAGCAAGAGUUUGCUGAAGUCAAGUAAAAUGUUUGGUUGGUAGGGGUAGUUGGGCAGGGAGUUUGGACCCAUCGAUUUCAACUGUAUCAUGUCGUCUGUACCAGUUUGUAUUGGUGUGAUGUGCAAUAUUUUUCCUAUAUGCCGGAUUUUGGAACAAGCACAGGAUAACUGGCAUGUUAUAUUGAUUUGCUUAUGGUUAUGAAGUUAUUUUUUGCUUUUACUUUCUAAUAUGUUUCAUGGCAGUGUGUUGCCUCUUGUUUGAUACCUGACAAAUGUGGUGUUGCCUCUUGUUUGAUACCUAACAAAUGUGAACUAUACGAACACUACAUGUGUACUAUUUUCUGUUUCGGUAUUGAUGUCAAAUGGUAGUGUAAUGUCCGCACUGAACGAUCUCAGACGGUAGCAUAAUCUGAUUACUACACUUACCUCCGAGUCCCACACGUACAUGCUCAAACGUGAUGCUGCAUAGUAACGGACAAUUGAACAUCUAGUAUAAGAAAGACUAGGUUGAUCCUGUAGUGUAUAGUGAAGCCAGACAAUUAACUGCAUCAAGCUAAGCUGGAAAUCUAAUCCGCACGAAGAAGGGCGGCAUGUGCCGAUGUCCCAAGAGUAUGCGUCGACCGAAAAAAUGGAAGAUUUAUCAAGGCCCUCCUCUUUGGACAAGUCCAUGUGCUCAUAUCCAAGAGUACAGGUCACCCUGACAAGAAAAACAAAUGGCGAGUAGUGAUACUUUAGUGCAUACUGAGAGCGCUGUUAGAAUGUUGGUGAGCUGUGUUUCUAGAAACUAUGUCCAUGUUAGUUGCGAUAGUAGCCUUAAGUUUCAAACCAUACAAAAAACCGAGUUUGUUGAAAUGACACUUGCAUUGGAUUUAUUACUAUACUGGGCCAUGAUAGCAAUACUGGAACCGAAAUAAAAGUGGACUCAUCUCAUCUUUAUCACAAAACAACAUGUUUUGCUACAUGGUCGUUUAAUGAGACUGUAUUUUGUAAAAAUACCCCUUUCCAAGAUAAUAUACUUGCGUGGCACUUAUAGUUUGCUAAGAUGUUUCUGCCGAAAGGUGGUUUAGUUCAAGAGGACUUCUUUGACAAAGCUAUUUCCCAUUCUGAUGUUGCUCUCAGGAUGAUGUAUUGUGUGUAUUAUUUAAAAGCUGUUCAAGGACAUAAAAUGUGUGUAUGAACACCCAUAUAAUAAAUCAAUAGGAAAAAUAUUUUUUGUCCUAACACCCCAAAACAAAUAAAAUGACAUCUGAAGAUAAAAUAAUCUGUUACAUGCAAAUAAAUGUCGAUAUUCUCUGGAAAGUGUGCUAACACCCACAAGAUUGGUGACAACUAAAAAAAUGAUGACAAAGUAAAAAAACACUUCCAUCCGAGAUAUAGCUGAAGACAUAAAAACAUGUAUGCUCACACUUGUUUGUAAACGUUUAGAAAAUUGCUAAAGGUUACUGAAACGAAAAGUUGAGCACCCCUCCCCCUCCCNNNNNNNNNNNNNNNNNNNNNNNNNNNNNNNNNNNNNNNNNNNNNNNNNNNNNNNNNNNNNNNNNNNNNNNNNNNNNNNNNNNNNNNNNNNNNNNNNNNNNNNNNNNNNNNNNNNNNNNNNNNNNNNNNNNNNNNNNNNNNNNNNNNNNNNNNNNNNNNNNNNNNNNNNNNNNNNNNNNNNNNNNNNNNNNNNNNNNNNNNNNNNNNNNNNNNNNNNNNNNNNNNNNNNNNNNNNNNNNNNNNNNNNNNCUCCCUGCAUUGUGUGGCGUCGUUGAGGUUCCUCUCGAGGAGUCAGGGCUUCGGGUGAAAACCCUUGACCAGUCCAUCGGUUUCGACGACGGCGGCACGGUGUGUCAUCUCCCUCUUGAGGUCGUCGUCAUUUAGCCCAGGUUACCUCUAGUGCGCCACGCUGUCAUAGGCAGACAUUCUCAGAUCCUAUCUUGGAGCUCCGUCAAAUCUAGCAUAGGCGGAUUCACUUACCUCAUAUGUUUUACAUGGGUCCUCUUUGGUUCCUUUCAGGUCCGCGUUUUCCACAGGCAGGUCCGGGCUCCACGAUCCGGAGCGGGAGGGCAGGGGCCCCUCUUCGGCGGAGUCUUGGAGUGAGUGGCCUCUCCAAUUUUCUUGCAUUUUCCUUUGAUCUGCUUUGUAAGAGGUUCUUUAUCAUCACCAUGUAUCGGUUUCGCUGUGUUGCUUUAUAUAUAAAGUGGGACGGAAGCCUUUUUCAGUAAAGGUUAUUGAAACGAAAUCCCAGUGAAAAAAUUCAAACCUACAGAAACAUCUAGUAUCUCAAAAUGUAUGCACCAUAUUCUCAGUUCGUGAAACUGGAGUUGAUCUUGUUGGAGCAUCUCUAGCAGAUGCGUCAAUAGCUAAAUUUGAGGACAAAGAUUUCGUUUUAGUGAAUUAAGCAUCAGCUACAAGAUCCCCUAAAUCAUUACCGCAUACAAAAUUUGACUUUUGAAAAUUACUCAAUGUUUUGUAGGACCGAUGGUCCACCGUAUUAUAUUGAAGCAUGAGGAGGCAUUGUUAUCGCCAAUGAAGAAUGAUAUUCAUUUGAACAAUGAUAGCCUCCCUCCAUUGAAGAUUAAUAAAUAUUAUCAUUUGUAGUUAUCUCGUUUUCCAACUAGAUAUGAGCAAGUACAUUGGUUGUGUAAAGAGUGCUUUUAAGGUGUGCUUUUGACUCAAAUAUCUGAAAUGAUAUUUCAGUUCUAUAAUAUUAAGUUUGAAUUUUGUUACUUUACCUGAUUUUAAUUGAUAAAGGAGGCUAUGAUCCUUUCAUUAUUCAGAUUCUUUGGUCUCUAAAUUAAUGAGGUUGUUAAUAUUCAAAUGUUCGAUGCUGCAUAAAGUGGUGGUUAACGAUUCUAUAGGUGGUUGAAUUGAAUUUAUAGUAAAUGUAAUGGUCGUUGAAGGAUAUCAAAAUGGUACAGAGAAUGGUCGUUACUAAUACAAAGAGGACGUUAAUGAUACUUCGGUCAACCAUGGAAAAUUUAUUUAUGAUGAAAAAGGUGGCCGUGACCAUUGUGGUUCUUAUUGCCUCACGAUUGACGAUGACACACCAUCCAAUCUUUACAAGAAUAAGGACGGGCAAAAUAUGCAAUCAUUAUUAAACAAUGGAGUCUAUAACAACGGCUAACAACCACUAGAUUGUGGUCAUUAUUGAUGUUUAGCGACCACAACCUAACUUUUAAUAACUCCAUAUACCGCCAUUAAAAACGUUUUUUCUUGUAGCGGCUUGUGAUCCAGCCGAGUCUGUAUGCAAACUACAUGUGUGUAGUGAAAAUAAGCUGCCUUUCCACCUGUACACAAGCACGUACCGGAGGCUAUUUAGUACUCCCUCCGUUCCCAAAUAAGUGACUCGACUUUGCACUAAUUUUAUAAAGUUAGUACAAAGUUGAGUCACUUAUUUUUGGACGGAGGGAGUACAAGCUAGCCAGAUCAAUCUGUCUUGGAUUUGAUGAUCACAUGACCGUGUCAGUUCUGUGUUAUUUUCCUUGCUUGAUCUGAGCUUGUUACCCAUGGGUUACACAAGUGUAAACAUAUGCUAUACUAGCUAACUACAAGUAGAACUCAAUGAUUGAUUCUUGCCCAACCCGGAUUUAGACUCGUGGUUAUUUCCGACAAAUUGCAGAUGCAACAAUUGACAAAUCCAGUCUGUGCAGUAAUUACAGUACAAUGUAGUUGUAAAAUACUGGUGUUUGAACUCUCUAUAGAGGCGUCUCUACAACAAGUGCAGCAGUGCAGAUAUGACUAUAUAUCGAGAAACUGAACAGGCUACUGUACAUAGAUGGAGCCAUCAUAUACAUGUCUCCUGGAAUCUCACUCGCACCCCCCGACCUAGGGUUCCUCCCUCCCUCCCACCGCCGCCGCCGGCCAUCCUAGGCCCCGCCACCGCUGCCGGUCGCCGGCCGCCCCCGCCCCCUCCCCCCCUCCCCCUUCCCCCGGAUCCGCUCCGCACCGCCUCCCCGAUAGGUGGCCGGGGCAGCGCGAGCCCUGCCUCCCCUUCGGCCGCCCUCGUCGCUCCUUUCCUCCCUGCUGCCGCCGACGGGCGCCCCCGGCGCUGGCCGGGUGGUGUUGGCGGCGGCGGGGCCUGCCUGUCCCUGCACGCGCGGCUCCUUGCCCGGGGCAUGGGGGCGGCGGCGCCCCUCAGCCUGAUGACGGCCCGGCGUCCCGACGUGGUGGCCAGCGGCUCGCUCGGUGGUGGCGCGGCCCCUUGGCGGCGAGACGUCAUGGUGGCGCUGGUUGGCCGGUGGCGCGCCCCCGGCCCAGAUCGGGGCCCGCAGGCCCCAUCUGGGUCCUAGCGGGCCGGCCCCCGGCGUGGCUUCGUCGUCGUCUGUGUGGUGAGGUGGUGGAGCAGCUCGGACGGGGGGCAGCGAGGCUGACGACAUGCCAGCUGUGGUGCGGAGGCGGGAGUUGUCCGGGCCUGUGGGGCCACGGGCCCGGCAGGCUCCCGCUUUGGCAUCCGGUCGGCUACCGUCGUGGACGGUGAAGGUGGGGCCCUCCAGUAUGCUGACGGUGCUGCUGCCCUAGUCCCGGCUCCCUUUCCUCGUUGUGCAGGCCAUCUUCGCGGUGCCGUGGUGAGACAGUGUGGGAAGCUUCGUGUCCGUGUGCACAGGGUGGUGGUUGGUUUGGUGGUGAGCACCGGAGUGCCUGAGGUGGAGGAUGGGAUCGGGAGAAAUCCCUGUUGGCUUGGCCGACACCGACGUGGUGGCGCCUGAGGGUGCCAUCAGACCUUCCUGGAGGGCGUCGGGGCUACCCUUCCACUUUCUUCACCGUGUACCGAGGGAAACCCUUGGCAGCAGCGUCGUCAUCGUCGCGUCCCUUCUUGGGGGUGUUGAUUGGUACCGAUGCUUCAGAGUCUCGGAGAUUGGGGGACGAUUUCCGGUGGAAGCAGCGGUCGCGAGGCUCUGCCAUCUUUGUCGAGCCGCCGUUAUCGGCAUUUGUUUCUUUUCUUUUUUCUCUUUCUUUUCUUUUCUUUUUUCUCCGCCAUCUUCCGCCCCAGCAUCUAUCGUUGGUUGUAUCGGAUGUUUGCUUUGUAAUACAAAGCGGGGGAAACCUUUUUCUCAUAUACAUGUCUCCUAACGUUUCCCAAGCAUAUAUUGUUAAGUGCCAUUCUCCACCUCCGCGAUGGAAACUGGCAUCCGUUAAAAAUGAUUUUUCUUGUACUAGCUUGUCAUCCGGCUGAGUCUGUAUGCAAACUACACGUGUAGCGAUGGUUUUCAAUUUUAGUUUCAGCAAAAUUUCAGCACCAACCGAAGCCAAAUGACCAAAAUAUUGACUUGAAUUCAAAUAAUUUUUUUGAAAUUUUGAAAAAAUAUUUUGAAUUCUUGUGUUGUACUGAAAUGGCUGAAAUAUUUUGGCUGAAACGUAAUAUUUCAGUGUCUAUUGAAAUUCAAUGAAUUUCACUGAAAUGUCACUGAAAGUGAAAACCAUGUAGCGAAAACACACUGCGUUUCCACCAGUACACAAGAUUGUACAGGAGAGCUAUCUAGUACAAGCUAGUCAGAUCGAUCUGUCUUGGCACAACUUGGUGAAACAGGCACGCGACACAACCCGGGGGCCUGCACAGCGAUUUGAUGGUCAAAGGACCCUGUCAGUCCUUUGUUAUUUUACUUGAUUGAUCUGAGUUUCAUACCCAUGGGUUACACAGACUGUAAAUAGCAGCUAUACUAGCUAACUAAAAGUACAACUCAGUGACUAUUCUUUUCCAAUCCAGACAUAGACUCGUGGUUAUUUUAGACAAAUUGUUGAUGCAACAAUUGACGAAUGCAAUCUGUACAGUGCAAUAAUUACACUGAUGCUUGAACCCUCUAUAGAGGCGUAUCUUCAUUCUUCAGUCAGGGCUGCAGUGCAAUGACUAUAUACCGAGAAACUAAUCAGGCCAGAGCCAUAUAGCCGGAUCCACCAUAUUUGCAAUGUUGUCUUCCUAACGCUUCCCAAGCCUAGAUUGUUAUCAAUUGCCAUUGUCCACCACUGUGAUGCAAGCUAGCAUCUUGUUUUGUGCAUGAUGCCCCAGUGCUGCACACGCGAGGAACAACAUUGAGAGCGGCGAGGUGGCAAGACAUUGGAGCACACUUCAUAAGAGAUGUUGGUGGCUAUGGACCUCUAUACAUGUGAGGCUUUGUUACUCCUCUUUUUUGUGUGUCGAGUUGUCCAUCAAUUCAUAUGGACCCUACCUAAGGAAAGAGGUUGUGGUUUUGGCGUGCAACCACUAGUUGUUCUUUUGCAUGCCGCCAGCUAAAAAGUGUGGAGAAUGGUUGGAGGAAAAGCAACUAAUAGUUGUUGCGAACAAUUUAAUCAUGCUCAUCGUAUGUCUUUAAAUUCUGAAGGGAUGUACAAAGUUAUGUGUCAAAAAUAGAAGUAUCCAAGUUGAUGCUGGAAGAGUCACAGUCGUGGUUGAUUCACUAGGCCCGAGGCCACCUCUCCGUUUGUCCAUGACAUGGCAAAACGGGACCUACAUGAUGCCAAUAUCUAUCUAGUAUAAAGAAAUGGCAUUAUAUGUGUAACCAUGCAUAAAGAAGCGGGUGUUUCCUCCGGGCAAGUUUGCUAUUGAUGUGCGGUCAAACAAAGGGAAAAGAACAAAAAAGGCAUGUGUGUAUUUUCUCUCACUCAUUUGAGCAGGUGUGAGUUGCUCAAUAGUCCUUUGAUCCUUUCAUUGAUAAAAUGUCCAAAUAGGCCAUGACUGUGUGUGGAGGAUUGCCAGGUAAUCCAAGCAUAAGCCCUAAAAUUAAAGAUGGAAUCUAGCCAUAGAAUGCAUGUUGCAACAAAGAAUUGUCUUGAUGUGUCCGUGAGCUCGGUCCAUAUAUACGAGGCAAAUAGAGCCGUACCCACUAACACAUUCAGAUACUUGCAUCCUCAUCCUCUUGACCACCUCCUUAGAGCAUGUAUAUGCAUUUUCUUAGCAUGAUUAUCAAGGACCAAGGUUCAUCAUGUUUAGAGCAUCUCAAGCCUCAUUUGUUGUAUUUUUUCUCUGAAAUGCUCAUAAAAAUGACAUCGGGCACAACUUAGGAUAUGGUUGCCCAUUGUCUCAUUGACUGCCUUGUUGCCUAUCACAACCGCGCAAACUACAUGCUCAGGCAUGGGGCUCUUCAUCCACCCUUCCCAUGCACCUCAAUUAAUUAUCAUCAUCAAGCAUGGGGUACUAUAUCCUUCAGUGUAGACAUGGCCCUCUUCUUCAAUUUCCCUCCAUAUCUGAAGCAACAUAAUGAAGACAGAGAAUCCCCCAACCACACUGUGGUGCAAAUCAAUGGUGAAGAAGGCUCUACCACUUAGCUACCAUGCCCAUGUAAACAUUCCUAGGGAUCAAACACUCAUUAGAGCGUUCGUAACACUUUUGUACUUAUGCAAAUUACAUGUAUCUAUUGCAUAUCACCCUAACUCUAAAAUUUGUGAAAUGUUGUUCCAGGCACUCCUUGUCCUUGCUAUAUAUGACGAUAGCAAGCAAUGCUGGUGCAGAUGGUUCAGCUGUCGCAGAGAAUAUUCUUGAAAGCAAGUGGUGAGUUGGGUACAAGUUCGAAGACCUUGUUAAGGCCGGCGCGGUUGAUCCGUGUCGGGUUGCAAGAUGCGUGCUCCAGAACUCUGCUUCUAUCGCAGGGCUAAUUCUAAUGUCCCAAGCAACGAUGCUUGAUAAGAUAAAGAAUUGGAAGAUUACUAGUGAGGAGAACGAAGCUUUGCUUACCUCUCUCUCCGACGAUGAGAUUUAUGAGAUCAUCCGCUCGGCAAACCCUAAUUCAGCAUCGGGCCCUGAUGGCUUCUCCAUUCCUUUCUUUAGAAAGUUUUGGCCCCAAUUGUGUAACCUCAUCUGUCCUAUAAUUCAAGGCUUCUGUUUGGGGGCGGUUGAUAUCUCUCGGUUGAACUACGCUGUCAUCACCCUCAUUCCUAAAGUCAAGGGUGCGGAUAUUAUCUCACAAUUUAGCCUAUCGCUCUCAUCAACAACUUUGCAAAAUUCCCUACCAAAGGCUUCGCCAUGUGCCUGUCCCCCGUCGCUCAUCGGAUCCUUAGUCCUUUCCAAUCUACUUUUGUCAAAGGGAGAUUCAUUCUCGAUGGUAUCCUGUGUCGUCACGAAAUAGUUCAUGAUCUUCGGGUGCGAGGCACCAAGGUGGUGAUCCUUAAGCUUGAUUUUGAGAAGGCCUAUGACUAGGUCAAUUGGAAACUUGGAAUUCUCCGCGUCAGGUCCUGGUGGCCAUGGGCUUUUAUGGGGCAUAGAUUCACAUGAUUAUGUAGUUGGUGAUGGGUGGUCACAUUGCGGUCUCGGUUAAUGGCAGGGUCAUCAAUUUUUUUCCCAAACGGCAGGGGCUUGAGACAAGGGAACCCGGCAUCCCCUCUUUUGUUUAAUUUCGCCGCUAAUGCUUUAUCUCGUAUCCUGUCGAGGGUGGCCUCGGCUGGGCAUAUUUCCCCUGUUAGAUCCCAUCUUGUUCCUGAGGGAAUUAUCUAUCUUCAAUAUGCGGACGAUACUAUUAUCAUGGUUGAACUUAACGACGAUUGUAUCGCCCACCUUAAGUUUCUAUUGUUGUGCUUUGAAGCCUUGUCGAGGCUUAAGAUCAACUUUGCUAAGAGAUAAGUGAUUGUCACCGGGUUGUCAGAGGCCGAGGCCCUACGGGUCUCUCAACUUCUUAACUGCUCUUUGGGCUCUUUGCCCUUCAAAUACCUGGGACUCCAUAUUUCUCCGGAGAAGCUGCUUGCUAGAGAUUUUGCUCCAGUGGUAACGAAAGUGGGCAACUGAGUUAUGCCUUGGUGGGGCAGAUAUAACACCCAGGCAUGCCAAGGUUGCCCUUAUUAAUGCUUGCCUCUCAUCCCUUCCCAUGUUCUUGAUGGGCUUUUACCUUCUCUCGGGUGGCACACACGCGGGGUUUGAUAAGCAUAGGGGUGCCUUCUAUUGGAAUGCGGCGGAUAGCAAACGCAAAUAUAGGCUGGUUAAAUGGAAACAGAUUUGUAGACGCAAGAACCUUGGGGGGUUGGGCAUUAUUAAUAUCGCGAUCAUAAACAAGUGUGUUAUCAUCAAAUGGUGGUGGAAGAUCAUGACUAACGCGGAGAACCCGCUAUGGCUUAAUAUCCUCAAAGCCAAAUAUUACCCUAAUUCUAGCCCCAUGUUUGCUUCCUCCUCGGGCAGAUCUCAAAUUUCGGAAUACCUUGUCAAAGUUUGCCCGUUGUUUAAAUCUCACACUAGUGCAGAACCGGGAAAUAUCACCGGUUCGUAAGGCCCUUUAGUGCCGGUUCGGUAACCUGCACUAAAGUGUGGGCACUAAAGCCCCCCUCCCCCCCCGUUUAGUACCGGUUCAGCAUGAACCGGUGCUAAAGGGCAACCACGUGGCACGAGCGAGCUUCGGGGGCAGGGAACCCUUUAGUACCGGUUGGUGUCACCAACCUUUAUUAAAAGGUUGGGGGGGUUGGGUUUAUGAUUUCUUUUUCAUUUAAUUUUGUGUUUUCCAUUUAAUUCUUUUUCGUUUGCUGGUAUUUUCCGAUACUACAUAUUGUACACGUUAUGCAUAUAUAUAAAUAGAAUUUCUAGCAGAAACGAUCAUAAUAUAUAUAUAUAUAUAUAUAUAUAUAUAUAUAUAGUAGCACUAUUCUAGUCCCAGGAUUAGAAUAACUAUUUGGAUCACGUCACACCCCUAUAUAGGGCCCGGUGGACUUUCCCGAACUCCCCGAACCCGCGCAGGAAAAAAACACCUACUCUUCCACCACUUUCCCUCGAUCCCCAACCUCCCUCGAUCUCUCCCCCUCUCUUCGAUCUCCCGGCGCCACCGCCCCCCGCUUCCCCUGCCUCCNNNNNNNNNNNNNNNNNNNNNNNNNNNNNNNNNNNNNNNNNNNNNNNNNNNNNNNNNNNNNNNNNNNNNNNNNNNNNNNNNNNNNNNNNNNNNNNNNNNNNNNNNNNNNNNNNNNNNNNNNNNNNNNNNNNNNNNNNNNNNNNNNNNNNNNNNNNNNNNNNNNNNNNNNNNNNNNNNNNNNNNNNNNNNNNNNNNNNNNNNNNNNNNNNNNNNNNNNNNNNNNNNNNNNNNNNNNNNNNNNNNNNNNNNNNNNNNNNNNNNNNNNNNNNNNNNNNNNNNNNNNNNNNNNNNNNNNNNNNNNNNNNNNNNNNNNNNNNNNNNNNNNNNNNNNNNNNNNNNNNNNNNNNNNNNNNNNNNNNNNNNNNNNNNNNNNNNNNNNNNNNNNNNNNNNNNNNNNNNNNNNNNNNNNNNNNNNNNNNNNNNNNNNNNNNNNNNNNAGGCGUCGCCGCCCCCGCUUCCCCUGCAUCCAGGCGUUGCCACCCCCUGCUUCCCCUGCCUCGAGGCGUCGUUGACCCAACCUUCCACCGCCGCCCCUUGCUCUGGUGCGCCGCCCACCUCUACCAACCGGCGUCGGAGCCGUCCCUCGCCCCGGAUCGCACCGCCGCCACUGUCCCAUGAUGGGGAUCGUGUCGCACGCAUCGUCCCAUGAUGGGGAUCGCACCACUGCAACCACCACCGCCCCACCUCCCAUCGUCGGGAUCCUGCUGCCGCGUGACUACCACCGGGAUCCUCCCACCGUGCGUCCUUUGUCCACCUACUGCCGCGAACUUCUUCCACCCGCCAUCGUGACCUUCUUCCCUCCCAUGCCUCCAACGGCCGCUCUCGCAUCGGAUCCCGCCGUCAGCCGCCACCUUGAUGGACCUAUGCGAUGGUGGAUCCCACCAUGAUGGACCCGUGCUGCCCAGUCUCCCCUCGCUGCGCCCAGCUACUCCUCCAGGUGAUGUCCCCGCGAUGAGCGUCGCCUCGAUCCCGAUGCUCUGUCCCCUGUCCCCCGUCUCGUGCACACGGUUCUUGUUUGGCCCCGUGGCGUCCGGAUGUAGCAGUUCAAACAUGUGAGUUUGUGAAGGAAGAUGGAUAUAGAGGUUGCAGAUUGCAAAUUAUUUUCUCUGAAAAAAUUCAGUAGUAACACAGGCAGCAAAUCACUUUCUAAAAAAAUGCUACUCUUUCUUCAUUUUGUUUUACCUAGAAGUUCAUAUAAAUUCAUGCGACAUAAAAUACCAUUUACAUGUAAAUGAUGUGAGGAGGUCGAAUAUAAAAGGCACACAUUCAAAUAUAGUAAAACUAGUUUACAAAAAAACUAGGAUUUUUUGCCAUUACUAAAAUAAAUAAAACCAAGAAGUCCAAAUUUUUAAAAAGGAGUAGUUGGACGUUCAUACAAAAUUCAUAUUUUUCUCAUAAUUAAUGAAUGAAAAACAAGAAGUUCAAAAAUAAAAAAACAAGAAGUAUAAUUUUUUAAAAUAGAGAAUUUCAAAAUUCACAAAAAAGGAUUUUCAUUGUUUCAGAAACAAAAAACUCUAGAAGUUCAAAUUUCAAUAAUGGACCGGUUCAAUAUUUAUACAAAACUAGGAUUUUUUUUCAUUACUAAAUGAAAUAAAAUAAGAAGUCCAAUUUAAAAAAAUAGAAAAAUAAAAGUUUAAAAGUUUUUCUGUAUAAAAAUGAAAUACAAUUCUUUACUCAAAAAUAUAAAAAGGUGAAGUUAAAAUUGAAAUAACAGAGAAGUUCAGAGUUUAUUAAAACCUAGGAUUUACGUAUUCAAAAAAUAAAAAAUAGAACACCAUUUUUGCACUUUUAAAAACAACUCAUAAACGAAAAAAUGGUUGCUAGAAGUUCAAGUGCUUGGCAAGAAAAAGUUGAAAAAUUCUUCUGACAGAGGUUCACCAUGUAUUUAGAUGUCGAAAAUACAUAAAAAAUAUGUUAUUUUUGUGUUUUAAAAUAAUUCUCUCAAACCAGAGAGAAGUUCAAAGUGAUGACAACCGGAACUUCACGUACUACAUGGUGUGUAUUUCAUAUAAGAAAAAAUACAAAAAAAGUGAAACAGGGUGAAGUUCAAACAAAGAUGCCCCAGAAGUUCAACUACUUCACGUAGUGCAAAAAACACCAUGUAAAAAUCAGCACGUCAAAAACAGAGUGAAGUUCGAACAGACACAUCCUAGAAGUUCAACUACUUCACGCGGUGUAUUUCCAUUCGUGAUGAAGGCAGAAAUCAUGAUCUCGUCAUUUUCUAAUCACUUCAAAACAAUAGGAAAUCAUUUGUGUAAGUUCAAGUCCUUCAUCGGAGAAAGUUCAAAAAAUUAUUGUGAGAGAGAUUUGUAUAAAAGGAAUACCAUUUGUGUGACACUAACCAAUGGAUGAAAAAAUUACAAGCGAAAAUACGUCACAGAAGUUCAACUGAAAACAACAGGAAGUUCAACUACUACACUGAAUGAAUUUCACAUGAAAAACUUUUAAAACCGUUGCGAGUAUGAAAAAGUGAUCAACACGGGAAAGUUGCGUGUCUACAGCAGCUUUCCAUCGGUAUAUCGCUUGCUCAAUUCCGGUGAGUGUUCCAGUGCAUUGAUGGAGAGCCACGGGCAAAAAAAGCACGUGAAAAACAGAGUGAAGUUCAAGGUUUCAUACCGAGAAGUUCAGGUACUUCACGCGAUGCAUUUUGACCAAUCUGUUUCGCGAUAAAGAUAGAACGAAUGAUCUCGCCGUUUUUGAAAUUACUUGAAAACGGCUAGGAAUCAGAGAAAAUCAUCAACAUGAAAAAGUUUCGCAUUUUCCGUAGCUUUUCAGCGGUAUAUUAUUUGCCCCAUUCCGAUAAAGUUUGUAGAAGUUACGGCGAAAAUACGUUUUUUGCCAUUUUUGAAACUGACUUAAAACCGUAAAGAAUUGGGAGAAACAAUACAUACUAAAAAGUUUCGCAUUUGUUCAAGCUUUCCAACGCCAUAUCAUUUGCUGCAUUUGGACGCACGGUUAAAACAUUAGCUCAAAAAUAUGAACUUGGUAGGAUUUGGACCAUUUUCUAAAUUACUCUUAAACCAUUCAAAAUUAGAAAAAACCUUUCUAGAUGAAAAAGUAGCGCAUUUUCAUAAGCUUUCCAACACCGUAUCAUAUGCCUCCAUUGGAUUAGCCGUUUAGAAAUGACAUCGAAAAAACGAACUCAGCUGUACGGUUUACAAAAUUUUACGUUUUUUCAAAUUAAUCUUUAACCAUAGGGAAUUAGAUAAAACUUUCAACAUGUGGAAGGAGCGGUUUUGCAGCAGCUUUCCAACGCCAUAUUAUAUGCCUCAUUUCGAUAAACGGUUUAGAAAUGUGAUUGAAAAUAUGAUUCACGUUUUUUAUGCGAAGAAAAAACGGUUUUCAAAACUGCUCUUAAACCGCUUAUAUUUUGCCAAAAAUUUAAGUUGAGUCAUGAUAUUGGUGUCCAUAGCUUUCCAACGGUAUAUCGCAAGCCCCAUUUGGGCAAUGUUGGUGGAAGUUCAACCUAGUUCAUAGGGAAGUUCAACAUACUACUAGCGGCGCAGAUUAGGUUGUGAUCAGAAUAUUAUUCUGAUCCCGUGAUCAGAAUAGUGUUUAUAUAUAUAUAUACAUACAUACAUGUGUGUAUAUAUGUGUGAAUUAAUUAAUGGUGGUUGUGAGACAUUCGAUNNNNNNNNNNNNNNNNNNNNNNNNNNNNNNNNNNNNNNNNNNNNNNNNNNNNNNNNNNNNNNNNNNNNNNNNNNNNNNNNNNNNNNNNNNNNNNNNNNNNNNNNNNNNNNNNNNNNNNNNNNNNNNNNNNNNNNNNNNNNNNNNNNNNNNNNNNNNNNNNNNNNNNNNNNNNNNNNNNNNNNNNNNNNNNNNNNNNNNNNNNNNNNNNNNNNNNNNNNNNNNNNNNNNNNNNNNNNNNNNNNNNNNNNNNNNNNNNNNNNNNNNNNNNNNNNNNNNNNNNNNNNNNNNNNNNNNNNNNNNNNNNNNNNNNNNNNNNNNNNNNNNNNNNNNNNNNNNNNNNNNNNNNNNNNNNNNNNNNNNNNNNNNNNNNNNNNNNNNNNNNNNNNNNNNNNNNNNNNNNNNNNNNNNNNNNNNNNNNNNNNNNNNNNNNNNNNNNNAUGAGCCACUUCCAAUUGUUAUCGUGCUCCGAAGGCACCAAUUAGGCUAUACACAAUUAGCUAGCUAUCUACAAUUUCUCCUAAUUGGUGCCUUCGGAGCCAGUGACAUUAGCCUAAUGGUGCCUUCGGAGCACGAUAACAAUUGGAAGUGGUUCAUGGGGGCGGUAGCGGGUAAUAGUAUUCUCCUUUGGGAUCUAUGACCUGGUCGAGCAAAAAUCCCGCUAUUUCCUCUUGAAUUGCUUUUAUGCGAUCCUUUGUUAGGAGCUUCUCCAGCACCUCUUUGAACUAUUAAGAAGGAGAUCAAUAUGCAUGUGUAUUAGUUGUGUGACUAGAUAUCGAUAAUGGUGUAAAAAUUGUGAAUAGUGUUCUGACAAACGUACCCACUCCUGUCUUUAAGAUCUGCUCCUUUCGGAUGCCAUAAUGUGAAUGUUCUCGCAAACGUAGUAUGCACACAGAUUAUUCCCCGACGCCUGCUUUAGGGCCUUUACGAGAAUGGAAUUUGAUCGGAUAAUAAUUAAUCAAGCAUGAUAAUUAAAGAGAUGGCAGCUAGCUAGUACUACUUAAUUACUUACCUGGAGUCGAUACCAUUUCAGAUUUUGUUUCCAUGGGCCUGGAGUGGCCCUGAUGAACUUUGCCCAAGCCCUGCCCGCCGACAAAGAAAAUGAAUAAAUGGGUUAUUAAAUAGUUGUUAUCAGGAAAUGACGAACUAAUUAAAUAGGCCGAGAUAUAGUUAAUUAUGAUUGAAAUUACCUGUUGACUAUCCCCUUCACGAUGGUGUAGUCACUUGCUUUCUUAAGUAGUGAGUCUAGUACUUCAACUGUUCCUUCAUCAACUUUAAUGAUUAACAAGAUCCAGUGAAAUCUGCAUGCACACACGUUUGCAUGUCUUAAUUAAGCGGGCAUAUGUAAGCAAAAACAUGUAGCUAGCUAGUAGGCAAAAAACAGAAUUUGUAGUACAAGACAAUGUGACUCACUCGAAGUUGUAAGGAAAUAGUAUAUCUUCAUUGUAUAUCUUCAUUAAUGGUAUUUGGGUCAACGAACCUAAUGCCAUAGCGUCCACCUUUUUUCAUUUCAUAAAUCUUCAUCCUGCAUAAUACCACAGAAAAGAAUAUAGUGAGGAUAAUUACAGGUAAUGAUUGAUCGAAAUGAUCACUACAGCUAGCUUAAGACUUAAAUUAUAGAAAGAAAUCACUUACAGACAAUAGCAACUGACGAUAGAUUUGUCGAGUGCGUCUUGAUUGUAUAGCUGAAAUAGUUCUGAAUACUCAACGGACACAGCUAUCUCAUGGUAGUAAUGAUCCUUCUUGACAUUCACCAUGGGGGACUCUCGAUUGGAAAUCUUGGUAAUGUCCAUGUACCAUUGAUGCAAUUCAUACAUUCUCGUUGGGAGCUUCUUGACCUCGUCUGGCUCGACCAAAGGUUGGCCCCGGACAUAUUUCCGUUUUAUUUCCUCCUCUCUAGUCGGAGACAUGGGCUUGAUAUCGAGGAGUUGUCCAACAGUGAUCAUGAGCGUUUCAGCCUGCUCAAUAUGCUCCUCGGUUAUUACCACAUCGCCCAGCCCGGGAACGUUAACAGUUUGCCCACAAUAAUAUUGGGCGCGCCUACUCUCAUGUGUUGUUGGCACAACAAGUGGGGGGAUUGAUUGCGCCGCCUGUUCUCCCAGCUGGGGAACGGUUUUACCGCUCCUUUUGCCAGCUAAUUUGCUCGAGCUCGAGCUCGCCUCUUUCUGUAGACGUGCUCAAUUUAACUUCUUGAUGUGGUGCUCAUAGUCUGUGUCAACAGGCUUGGGAGCUGUGCUCUAGCCAUACGAAUGAAGUGGUCAAUCUUUUCCUCAGGCACUUUCUCCCUUGGCGGCGGUGGCGGUUUCGGUGCAAAAUGGGCUUCCACCUCGGCCUUCGAUAUGGCUACGUUUUCCUCCUCGGACUUGCCGUAAGGCCUCUGCGGAAGAGGCGCGAGGCUUGGACCAUAUUGAAAUCGCUUGCCUCCGCAUGUACCUCCAGUACUACCUCGACUUGUACCGCUACACACCAUAGCUGAGGCGGCUCUCUUCCGUGAUUGCUGAGGCGGCAAAGACGGCCGACGUGACUGAGUUGGAGGAGGAGGAGUGGCCUGAAGCUGUGCCGGACUUGGAGGAGGAGUGGCCUGAAGCUGUGCCGGACUUGGAGGAGGAGUGGCCUGACGCUUUGCCGGACUUGGAGGAGGAGGAGUGGCCUGAAGCUGUGCCGGACUUGGAGGAGGAGUGGCCUGACGCAUUAGUGGACUUGGAGGAGCAGGAGUCUGCUGACUCGGUGGCGGACUUCGACGAGGAGUCGGAUGACGCGGUGUCGGUGGCCUUCGAAAGAUGAUGCAAUCCUUUCUCCAUAGGAUGAUACGACGUAUGGCCUCUCCCAAUGUGUGCUCAUCGUCACCUCCAGGAAUGUCAAGCUGUAGCCCCGAAUAUGGGUCCACCACCUCAUCAACCAAGACACGAGCAUAGCCCGCUGGAAUCGAGUUGCAAUGGAAGGUUGCCUCGGGGGGAUUAGUAAAAGCAACGGCGUCCGCCACCUUCAUGGAUAUGUUCUUCAUUUUGAAGUGUAGCUCGCAAUUAGUGUUCUCCAUGAUGUCAUCCACGGGGUAUCUAUCCAGCAUUGCGUCGCCCGGGGAGGAACCCACGAUGCUUCUCGGCAUGGAUGGGGCGGUGCUAUCCAAUGCUGGAUCAUUCGCUAGCUGCUGCAGCUGCUGAGACCCCCUUUGCUGGCUAAGUGAGUCGAUCUGCUCCUACUGCCACUGGAAUUUGACUGCCAAGUCCGCGUGCGCUGAUUCUAGGCCUUGAAGGCGUUCAUAGUCCAGCUUCCUCUGCUCCUCCUCCAUCUUCCUCUUCUUCUCCUCCGCAAUCUUCUUUCUUGAACGGGUUCUGUAGUCGGCGUUCCAGUCCGAAAACCCCUCAUACCACAGAAUAGCGCCCUUGCCUCGUGUUCUUCCCGGGUGUUCAGGAUUUCCCAGGGCACGCGUAAGCUCGUCGUUCUCUCUGUUGGGCUGGAACACCCCCGAUCGAGCCUCUUCUAUUGCAACAAGUAUCUUAUCUUCGGCUCCGUUCAGACAUGCCUUCUUCAAAACUUUGCCUGUCUUCGGGUCUAACUCCCCCCAUGCGCAUAGAACCAAGUCCUGCACCUGGGGGGCGAGCUCCUAGUAACCGGAGUGACACCUGCAUCCUCCAUCUCUUUCUCAAACUUAUCCCACUUAGGCAUUGCCACCGCGUAGCCACCUAGCCCCAACUUAUGGAACUUAUCCUUUUUUCGGCAUUUUCUUGUUUAUUCUCGACCGUUCCUUAGCUAAUUCCGAAUCCUUGAAUUUCACGAAAUCGUCCCAAUGAGCACUUUGCUUCUCUAGUGUUCCCUCGAAUACUGGAGUCUUCCUUCCUCCCUUGACGUACUUGUCCCAUACACGAUUCUUGUGGUUGUUGAAUGCAACCGCCAUCUUCCUAAGAGCAGCGUUCUUGACUUUCUCCACAUCUGCAUCUGUGAAAUGAUCUGGUAGGGUGAAAUGUUCCAUGAGAGUUUCCCAAAGCAGACCUUUUUGUCUGUCGUCGACAAAAGUAACAUCUGGACGUGGCUUUGCUGGCUCUCUCCAUGCUUUAAGGAAGAUCGGGAGUUGGUCCUUCACAAGAACUCCGCACUGACGAAUGAACUUGUCCGCAAUCUUCUUAGGCGCUAAUGGUUCGCCAUUAGGUUUGAUGGCCUCGAUAUUGUACUUUACGCCCUCCUUCAACUUUUUGUUCGGGCCUCGUUUCCAGUUGCCUGAAGAUUUGCUCGAUCCGGAUGGCUGAAAGAAGAAAGAUCAAUUCGUUAAUAUAUCUUCAAGUCAUUUAAAACAUGUGAUGAUCACAAGAUGCAUGCUUAUAUAAAUAUAUAUACCUCGCCGGUCUUUGUUAUUUCAAGACCAACAUUUUCUUCGUCAACAUCAUAAUCAUAGUUCAUGAUUUCAUCAAUUCGGUCGUCGCGAUCGAAUAUCAUAUCACCCUCCCCGGUGUUGUUUAGAAAUUCGGAGCCGUCAUAAUCUUCUUCAUUCUGAUCAUCAUCUGGCCCGUGAGGAUGGUGUAUGAUAUCGAACAGGGUCUCUUCUCCCUCUCUGCCGGUAUUGUCCGCCAUAGCUUUUAUUUAACUAAUCCAAAAGAAAUAUAAAACAAUUUAGUAUUCAAAUUACAAUGCAUGGAUGCAAUCAAUUAAUAAGGAAAAACUAAAUCAAUCAUAGUACAUAAUAAGCAUAAUCGAAUAUAAUCUCGAAUACAUCGUCUCGAAUAAUAGAUAUAAUCUCGAAUACAUCGUCUCGAAUAAUAUAUAUAAUCUCGAAUAAAUCAUCUCGAAUAUUAUAUAUCGAAUACAUCACUAGCUAGCCAGCUAGCUAUCUAGCAGCUAAUAAAGAUCGAAUACUAAAGAGUAAUCUAGGCCACUCGUGGUUCCUGAGGCACGGGCGGUGGAUAACCAAAGUGAAGGAACCAUCACUGGAUCAUAGCUCGGGUGAUCUCCCCAAAGAACCUGCCAGGUAUUAGAGAACCCGACGUCCAUAGCAGCCAUGUAGAGAUGGACGUGCUCGUCCUCCUCCCUGACACGGCGACGUACCACCUCCGGCGGGGCCGGCUCCCUCCGCACCGAAAGUGGCCCAGCGAACGCCACCAAAGGAGAUGAGGGUCGACGACGGGACCCGGGGCCGGGUUCAAGCGUCGCGCCCCUGAAGGUAGCACCUCCCAGUGCCAGCCCGGCGGAGCCCAGUCCCGGACAUGGGUCCUCUGAAGCAGGACGUCAUCGCGAAUGGGUCGACGGCGAGGAUGCGGGCCGGGCAUCGUCGACAACAAAUACUAUAUGCCGCAAAAGUAAAGUAACAUUUUUUAAAUGAUGGAUUGUGAUUUCAUAUAUGCAAAUUCUAAAUUUUAUAACUAAAACUAACAUUUCUAAUAUUUCUAUAACUAAAAUUAACAUUUCUAAUAUUUCUAUAACGAAAAAACAUUUCUAUAUAACUAACAUUUCUAAUAUAACUAACAUUUCUAAUAUUUCUAUAUAAAUAACAUUUCUAUAUAACUAACAUUUCUAUAACUAAAACUAACAUUUCUAAUAAUUCUAUAACUAAAAAACAGAAAGAUUGCUAACAAUUCUAUAACAAUAUGUGUGUGUGUGUGUGGUUGGCGGCCGGGGCAGGAGCUCACCGGUGAGGCGUGACGACGGGGGGCGGCGACGGGGACGGGGACGGAGACGGAGAUGGCGACGGGGACAGGGUGGCGACGNNNNNNNNNNNNNNNNNNNNNNNNNNNNNNNNNNNNNNNNNNNNNNNNNNNNNNNNNNNNNNNNNNNNNNNNNNNNNNNNNNNNNNNNNNNNNNNNNNNNNNNNNNNNNNNNNNNNNNNNNNNNNNNNNNNNNNNNNNNNNNNNNNNNNNNNNNNNNNNNNNNNNNNNNNNNNNNNNNNNNNNNNNNNNNNNNNNNNNNNNNNNNNNNNNNNNNNNNNNNNNNNNNNNNNNNNNNNNNNNNNNNNNNNNNNNNNNNNNNNNNNNNNNNNNNNNNNNNNNNNNNNNNNNNNNNNNNNNNNNNNNNNNNNNNNNNNNNNNNNNNNNNNNNNNNNNNNNNNNNNNNNNNNNNNNNNNNNNNNNNNNNNNNNNNNNNNNNNNNNNNGGACGGCGACGGGGGCGGCGACGAGGGGCGGCGGCAACGGGGCAGAGGAGAAAGAAGCAGAGGGAGAGAUGAGAAACUGACAAUUUUUUUGAAGUGUUUUCUUAUAUAGAACCCACCUUUAGUACCGGUUGGAGCCACCGACCGGUACUAAAGGUCUAUUUUGGCCAGGCGAAGCGGCGGGAACCGCACCCCCUUUAGUACCGGGUUGUGGCACCAACCGGUACUAAAGCCCCUCCUUUAGUACCGGUUGGAGCCACGACCUGGUACUAAAGGGUGUGCGCUGCCAGGCGAGGGGCGCAGAAGUUUAGUCCCACCUCGCUAGCCGAGGGGCACUCGCACCUGCUUAUAAGCCCCGCCGUCGCUGCUGUCUCGAGCUCCUCUCUUAAGCAGGCCUUCUGGGCCUACCUCUGCUGCGAUGCCCUAUUGGGCCUACUGGGCUAGCGGGCCUGCAUCUUGGCCCAACUAGAAUUUGGAUUUCUAGUCGUAUGCAGGCUGUUGUGGCCCAGUAGGUGGGCUUUUUUCUUCUUAUUAUUUUUUGCUUUAUUUAUUUUUGUUUUAUUUAUUUUUGAGUUGUUUUUUGCUAUAUUUAGAGUUUCUUUGUGAAUAUUUUUGCUUUAGGUACAAAAAAUUACAAACUUUCUGUUAGUAGCGGUAGUUUAUAAAUUUGAAUAGUUUAAAUUUUGAAUUAUUUGAAAUUUGUGUGAAUCACUAGUUUGUGAAUAACUUAACUUUGAAAAUAGAUUUUUUCAGUGAUUCUUUUUUCUUAUGUUUAAUAUUAGUGUGUUUUAUCAUUAUAUUCAAUUUGGUAAUGCUUAGGUUAUUUAAAAAAUGAAAUGCCUUUGUAACGGAUGAGUUUUUGUCCGAAACCCUGAUACUUCGAAAGAGAUUGUCCAUUUUGUACACGAAGUGCAUCCAGUUUUUGCGGUAACCCUCUCUACUUUUUUGCACAUGCUAUGUGGGUGAAAUUAUGAUAUCAUGCCAACUUUCAACCUUUUCUGAGUUUAUUUGAAAUGCUUUUUAAUUUCAGGGUCAUUUAGCUGAAAAAAUCAGUUAAUGCAUGAAAGAAUUUGCUUGCACAUAAAAUUUCUUCGCGUUUCAAAUGCCAAAACACAUAACUAGCUACCCUAACUAUUACAGAGGUUCCCUCCUGGGUGUGAAACACAGAAGAAAGUGAUGAUAGUGAAGCCAAUCACAUCCCAGAUCUUUGGGUGUGAAACUUUUUCUUCGCGUGUGUCCCUUUGCGCCGUAGCCAUGGAAAAUCUUCAUCAUUUAACUGGAUGCUCAGGUCAAUAUUCACUGUGAAUGGAGCAAUUUCAUCAAACUUUUCAUAAUCUCCUGACAUGCCAGUCUUGUCAUCCACUCCCACGAUGUUUCUCUUCCCAGAAAGAACUAUGUGCCGCUUUGGCUCAUCGUACGAUGCAUUCGCUUCCUUAUCUUUUCUUUUUCUAGGCUUGGUAGACAUGUCCUUCACGUAGAAAACCUGUGCCACAUCAUUGGCUAGGACGAAUGGUUCGUCUGCAUACGCAAGAUUGUUGAGAUCCACUGUUGUCAUUCCGUACUGCGGGUCUUCCGUUACCCCGUCUCGUGUCAUAUUGACCCAUUUGCACCGAAACAAAGGGACAUUCAAACCACGUCGAUAGUCAAGUUCCCAUAUGUCCUGUAUAUAACCAUAAUAUGUUCCCUUCCCCAUCUUGGUUUCUGCAUCAAAGCGGACACCACUGUUUUUGGUUGGUGCUCUUCUUAUCUUGGGCGAUCGUGUAAAAUGUAUUGUCAUUUAUCUCGUACCCUUUGAAAGUCAUUAUAUUCGAAGAUGGUAACUGGGACAGCAAGUACAGGUCAUCUUCAAUAGAGGCGUCAUGCAUGGUACGUGUCUGCAACCAGCUAGCGAAACUCCUGGUUUGUUCACGUGUAAUCUAGUGAUCAGACAACUCCGGGUGUUUGGAGCGUAGAAAAUUCUUGUGUUCAUCCAUAUACAGAGCCACCAAGGCGGAAUUCUGUAAAACUGUGUAGUGUGCUUCAGUGAGAGAAUGUCCGUCCAUACAUAUUAUUUGUUCCCCUCCUAGCGUGCCUUUUCCAUCCAGUCUGCCCUUAUGCCGUGAUUCAGCAACACCAAUCGGCUUAAGGUCAGGAAUAAAGUCAAUACAAAACUCAAUGACCUCCUCAUUUUCAUGGCCCUUGGAGAUGCUUCCUUCUGGCCUAGCACAGUUAUGAACAUAUUUUUUUAAGACUCCCAUGAACCUCUCAAAGGGGAACAUAUUGUGUAGAAAUACAGGACCCAAAACGUUAAUCUCUUCCAUAGGUGAACUAGAACAUGCGUCAUGAUGUUGAAGAAGGAUGGUGGGAACACCAACUCGAAACUGACAAGACAUUGCACCAAAUCAUUCUCUAACCUUGCUAUGAUUUCUGGAUCAAUUACCUUCUGAGAGAUUGCAUAGAGGAAUGCACAUAGCUUCACAAUGGCUAAUCGAACGUUUUCCGGUAGAAGCCCCCUCAAUGCAACCGGAAGCAGUUGCGUCAUAAUCACGUGGCAGUCAUGAGACUUUAGGUUCUGGAACUUUUUCUCUGCCAUGUUUAUUAUUCCCUUUAUAUUCGACGAGAAGCCAAACGGUACCUUAAUAUUGAGCAGGCAUUCAAAGAAGAUUUCCUUCUCUUCUUUGGUAAGAGCGUAGCUUGCAUGACCCUGAUGUAUGCCGUCUUUUCCGUGCAUACGUUGCUAGUCCUCCCAUGCCUCAGGUGUAUCUUUUGUCUUCCCAUACACGCCCAAGAAGCCAAGCAGGGUCACACAAAGAUUCUUCGUCACGUGCAUCACGUCGAUUGCGGAGCAGACCUCUAGGUCUUUCCAAUAGGGCAGGUCCCAAAAUAUAGAUUUCUUGUUCCACAUGGGUGCACGUCCGUCAGCGUCAUUCGGAACAGGUUGUCCACCAGGACCCUUUCCAAAGACCACCUUCAAAUCCUUGACCAUAUCAUGUACAUCAGCACCAGUAUGGUGGCGAGGCUUCGUCCGGUGAUCCGCCUCACCUUUGAAAUUCUUGCCUUUCUUUCUUACGGGAUGCCUGCUCGGAAGAAAUCGACGAUGUCCCAGGUACACAUUCUUCUUACAAUUAGCCAAAUAUAUACUGUCGGUAUCGUCCAAAUAGUGCGUGCAUGCGCGGUAUCCCUUGUUUGUCUGUCCUAAAAGGUUACUGAGAGCAGGGCAAUCAUUGAUGGUCACAAACAGCAACACCUUUAGGUCAAAUUCUUCCCCCAUGUGCUCAUCCCACGCACGUACACCUGUUCCAUUCCACAGUUGUAAGAGUUUUUCAACUAAUGGCCUUAGGUACACAUCAAUGUCGUUGCCGGGUUGCUUAGGGCCUUGGAUGAGCACUGCAUCAUAAUGAACUUCCACUUCAUGCACAACCAAGGAGGAAGGUUAUACAAACAUAGAGUCACAGGCCAGGUGCUAUGGUUGCUGCUCUGCUCCCCAAAAGGAUUAAUGCCAUCUGCGCUUAGACCAAACCAUACGUUCCUUGCGUCAUCUACAAACUCCUUCCCGUACUUUCUUUCGAUUUUUCUCCACUGCGACCCGUCAGCGGGUACUCUCAACUUUCUGUCUUUCUUAGGGUCUUCUCUGUGCCAUCGCAUCGCCUUGGCAUGCUCUUUGUUUUGGAACAAACGUUUCAACCGUGGUAUUAUAGGAGCAUACCACAUCACCUUGGCAGGAAUCUUCUUCCUAGGGCGCUCGCCCUCGACAUCACCAGGGUCAUCGCGGCUGAUCUUAUAGCGCAAUGCACCGCAUACUGGGCAAGCGUUCAAAUCCUCGUACUCACCGCGGUAGAGGAUACAAUCAUUAGGGCAUGCAUGUAUCUUCUGCACCUCAAACCCUAGAGGGCAGACAACCUUCUUUGCUUCGUACGUACUCUCGGGCAAUUCGUUGUCCUUUGGAAGCAUAUUUUUUAUCAUUACCAGCAACUUUCCAAAUCCCUUAUCAGAUACACCAUUCUCUGCCUUCCAUUGUAGCAAUUCCAGUGUGGUGCCCAGCUUUUUCUUGUCACCUACGCAAUUCGGGUACAACAAUUUUUUGUGACCCUCUAACAUGCACUGCAACUUCUUCUUCUCCAAAUCACUUGUGGAGUUUCUCUUUGCAUCGGCAAUGGCCCGACCUAGAUCAUCAACCGGCUCAUCGGAUGCCUCUUCUUCAGCUUCUUCCCGCAUUAUUGGCUCAGCUUCUUCCCUCAUUGUUGUAUCAUCAUAUUCAGGGAACCCAUGGCGAGGAUAGCUGUCGUCGUCCUCUUCUUCUUCAUUGUCUUCCAUCAUAACCCCUCUUUCUCCAUGCUUGGUCCAAACAUUAUAAUGGGGCAUGAAACCGGACUCAAACAGGUGGACGUGAAUGGUUCUUGACGUAGAGUAAUUGUGACCAUUCUUACAGCCAGCACAUGGACAAGGCAUAAAACCAUCCGCCCGCUUGUUUGCCUCAGCCGCAAGCAGAAAAGUACGCACGCCAUUAAUGAACUUGGGAGAGCAUCGGUCAUCGUACAUCCAUUGCCAGCUCAUCUUCAAUACACAGCACCAAAAACACCAAAUUAAUACAAUACAUAAAGUUCAUACAUAAAGAUCAUACAACACUUAAAUGCAACAAACAAAUAACUCUCUAGCUAAAGAAUUUAAAUGCAACAAUAAAUGCGAUCAAGAUCGCAACUAAGGUAACCAUUGAUCCAACAGCAUAAUGAUACCAAGCCUCACUAUGAAUGGCAUAUUUUCUAAUCUUUCUAAUCUUCAAGCACAUUUUCCCCAUCUUAAUCUUGUGAUUAUCGAUGACAUCGGCAACAUGCAACUCCAAUUCCAUCUUCUCCCCCUCAAUUAUUUUCAAUUUUCCUUCAAAUCCUCGUUUUCUCUUUUAACUAAAUUUAACCUCUCGACAAUAGGGUCGGUUGGAAUUUCCGGUUCAACUACCUCCUACAUACAAAUAUCUAUGUCAACUUGAUGGGCAUAAUUUGUCAUAAACACGAAAUGCAAUGAACAGUUUUAAAAGAGAAUAUACCACAUCCGAAUCAUAACCCGGACGAGGGCCGACAGGGACGGAUAUCAAAACCAUGGCACUAUGUAUAACAAACAACGUAUGAGUAAGAUAAUUAUAGGAGUAACUAUAUAUCCAAAUCACACAAACAUUGAUUUUUUAUAUAAAACUUCAUGAACAAGAGGCUCACCAUAAGGUGGUGCCGGCGACGGGAAGUUGCGAGCGAUCGACGGUGGUUACGACAGAGAUUUAGAAGGUACUAAGUAAACCACACCUACAUAUGCGAACUAAGUGUUAUUUUUGACCUCAAAUUGCAUAUAAAUCAAAUACUAACACAUAUAUAUAAUUCCUCCCAAAUUACUAAACUCAAAAAUCAAUCACUAUAUAAAGCAUUGCACGAGCUAAUCUAGCAAUGAGAGAUGAAAGGACAAAGUUGCUAACCUUUGUGAUCAUUUGAAUGGAUGGGGGCCUUCAAAUCUUGACAAAUUUUGGGCAAAAUGUGUGAUGAGCUUGAGAGGAAGAGGGAAAAGAACAGAGAGGAGAGGGGAAAGGGGAAGAACAGAGCGAGCUCGGGUGGACGAAGGGUCUAUGUAGGACGACCUUUAGUACCGGUUCGUGAUAUGACCCGGUACUAAAGGUGCUGGAGGGGCCCCGGACUGACAACAUCCUGCCACCACUCACUUUAGUACUGGUUCGUGGCACGAACCGGUGCUAAAGGUUCGCCACGAACCAGUACUAAUGAGAGCGGCCGGCUAGCCAUUGGAACCGGCACUAAUGCACACAUUAGUGCCGGCUCAAAUUCAAACCGGCACUAAUGUGCUUCACAUUUGACCCUUUUUCUACUAGUGUCAUGUUAAAUUUGUCGUUCGUAACAGCAAGUUCACUCGCUUUUGGCUUGUCUGGUGGUGCGGUGCUUCUCCCCUAGUUGUUUUCUUUCCGGUCCUAUUGCCCGGAUCUGGAGAUCUCAUCUCCGAGCUCUCCGGUAAUAACUUGGACCUGGCCCUCCGGCGUUCUCUAUCUCAUGAAGAGUUGGAUGAUUGGCAGCGUCUUGUUGCUUGUAUUCCCAUGCUCUCGGAGGGGGAGCAUUCGGUGGUUUAGCCCCACUUUGCCUCCGGGUGUUUCUCUGUUAAAUCUUUAUAUGCUAAGCUUGUCUCUGGGACCCCUACUACUAAGUUUAAGCUGAUUUGGCGGGCCCGGAUUCCUCUCGAGGUCAAUAUCUUUUUGUGGCAAGCCUACAGAGGGCGGUUGCCUAGGGCUGAUCAAAUUCGUAAACGUAAUGGACCUGGGUCCGACUGUUGUGCAUCAUUUGGUGAGCUGGAGGACACAAAUCACAUCUUCAUUAACUGUGUUCUGGCAAAGCUUGUCUGGUGCUGUAUUAGGUCCUGGAUCCACGUGUCUUCGAGCCCAUCUUCCUUCUCUGAUCUUAGGAAUCUCGCCUCUGGCCUGGUUGGGGUUUCCAAACGAAUGUUCUGGGGGCGCUUCACGGCAAUUUGCUAGACGUUGUGGAAUACUAGGAACAAUUUCACUAUUGAGCAUAGUUUUCCUAUUAACCCUACUGAUUGCUUACUUAAAUCUUGCCUAUUCUUGCAGCAGUGGAGAUUAUUGACUAAGUAGGCCGACCACGAUGCUUUUGACAUGAUGACUUCCAAGGUUCGGCUACAGCUACCUCCCUUUCGUAGCAUCAGACAGGCUGCUACAGGAACUUGGUAGUCCCUUUUGUCGUGCUCUUUCAUCUAGUCCCUCAGCCUGUGUGCCGUCUUGUUGGCCUGGGAGCCAUGUACUUCCUGUUUUCUCUAAACUCUUUGUGUUGUCGCUACUCUAAUGUGAUGGGUACUGUCCAGUGGUGUACGCUGCCUGGUGGCUUUAUUUAUAAAGUCGGGCUGAUGCCUUUCCUCUAAAAAUAAGAUAAAGAAGAAAAAGUCACCCAUUCCUGAAAUUCCAGGCCUUCCGCCACUGCAGGUAAAUCAAAAUGCCUAGGUCUGAGCAAUUAUUAUCCUGUUAUCAAAGAAGGUUCCAUAAAUAUGACGAUCACUUUACUCUAAGCUAAGAACAGAGUCGGCGGUAAAGGACAGCUCUUCUCACGAUUGUCUACAGCAGUGAAUGGGCUCAGGAGGUUAGUCUGAAGGGUGUGGGGGUGGGCACAUCUCUUCUCACGAUUGUCUACAGUGGUGAAUGGGUACCAUUGAUAUCAACUAUAAUCAGGCUUGCAAUGUUUUUUUUAGUACUGUUUAUUUUGUGGGGUUCCUUUUCUUUUUAGUACUGUUAGGUGCAGCAUUUUCAUUAUCUCUCUUUGUAAUGGUAUUAGAUGUAGGUGCAGAUUCUGCCCAAACAGAAAAUAUGUUAGGUGCAUUAUUUUCAUACCUGCACUAUAUUUUUGCACUCCCUCCGUUCCUAAAUAUAAGUCUUUUUAGAGAUACCAAUAUAAACUACAUACGAAGCAAAAUGAGUGAAUCUACACUCUAAGAUAAGUCUAUAUACAUCCGUAUGUAGUUCAUAUAGAAAUUUCUAAAAAGGCUUUGUAUUUAGGAACAGAGGGAGUAGCAUGUAACAUAGUAUGAUUACACUGGCCCAAAUGUUUAAGAUGCUAACUCUUGUCUGAUACGCUCAUCAUUUGUGGCCCUUUGUUUGAUACAUAAUGAAAUUGGUAAAAUCAAAUGCGCUGCUCCAUGUUUAUAAGCAAGAGUUUGCUGAAGUCAAGUAAAAUGUUUGCUGGGUAGAGGUAGUUGGGCAGGGAGUUUGGACCCAUUGAUUUCAACUGUAUCACGUCGUCUGUACCAGUUUGUAUUGGUGCAAUGUGCAAUAUUUUUCCUAUAUGCUGGAUUUUGGAGAUAACUAGCAUGUUAUGUUGAUUUGCUUAUGGUUAUGAAGUUAUUUUUUGCUUUUACUUUAUAAUAAGUUUCAUGCAUGGCGGUGUGUUGCCUCUUGGUUGAUACGUAACAAAUGUGAAAUGAACACACUGCAUGUGUACUGUUCUGUUUUGGCGGUGAUGUCAAAUGGAAGUGUAAUUUCCGCGUUGAACAGUCUCUCAAACGGUAGAGUAAGAUGAUUACUACUUAUUAACAAAAUAGAAACAAGUUAAAUUUAAGGGCGCGAGCUACUAAUGUAGCACAUCAUCUGAUACCGAUUGAAGAACAGUACUAAGGACAAAAUAGGAACCCUCUUUGUAGAAUCUCAUAACAGAAAGUGUGGAUUGCUUGUUUCCACUUCAGAUCAAUCUUAUAACCCUGUGAUGCUAGCUGGUUGCAUCGUUCAAGAUACUCCUGAGCUGCUCAAUGCUGUAUAUGAGCAGCAAGCAAGAACGCCAUUCCUCGUCCGGAUUAGUUCGGUACCCUGCGCAUCCCGAUUCCCUCUACCUCCCAUUCCCACACAUGCUCAAACAUGAUUCUACAUAAGUAACAGACAAUUGAACAUCUAGUAUAAGAAAGACUGGGUUGAUCAGCUGGAUCAGCUGGGAAGGUAGGCUAUCCAUUACUUUUAUAUCUUAUCGGCAGUAUGGUUUGUAAAAUGACCAUAAACCUAAACAUCCCAUAACGAUUCAGGAGUGUAAAGAAGCAUUUGUUCAAAAUGCCCAUUCAUUAGAGCAUUCGUAACUUAUUUUUUACAUAUGCAAAUUACAGGUAUCAAUUGCAUUUGAUCCUAACUCUGAAAUUUUUGAAAUGUUGUUCCAGGCACUCCUUGUCCCAGCUAUGACGAUAGCUCGUAAUGCUGGCGCAGAUGGUUCAACUGUCACAGAGAAGAUUCUUGAAAGCGAGUGGCGAGUUAGGUACAAUGUGAUGACCGACAAGUUCGAAGACCUUGUUGAUGCCGGUGUGGUCAAUCCAUGCCGGGUUGCAAGAUGUGUCCUCCAGAACUCUGCUUCUAUCGUAGGGCUAAUUCUAAUGACCCAAGUGAUGAUGUUUGAUAAGAUAAAGAAGAAAAAGUCGCCCAUUCAUGAAAUUCCAGGCCUCGCGCUGCUGCGGAUAAAUGAAAAUGCUUAGGUGUGACCAAUUCUUAUCCUAUUAUCAAUGAAGGUUCCCUAAAUGUGAAGAUCAUUUUGCUCUAAGAUAAGAACAGUGUAGGCCCAUGGAGGACAGCUCUUCUCAUGAUUAUCUACACUCUACAUCAGUGAAUGAGUUCAGGAGUUUAGUUUGAAGGGGGUGGGGUGGGUGGGUACCAUUGAUCUCAACUAUAAGUAGGCUUGCUCUGUUUUCUUUUUAGUACUGUUAGGUGCAGUAUUUUCAUUAUCUCUUUUCGCAGUCGUGUUUGACGUUAGGUGCAGAUUCUCCCCAAACAGAAAAUAUGUUAGGUGCAGUAUCUUCAUACCUGCACAAUAUUUUUGUAGCAUGUAACACAGUAUGAUUACACUGGCAGAAUUGCCAUGUUGAUUUCCCAAAUGUUUUAAAAGGUAACUCUUGUCUCUUACUUUUGAUAUGCAUAUCAUGCGUGGACCUUUGUUUGAUACGUAAUGAAAAUGGUUAAAGCAAAUGUGCUGCGCCGUGUUUAUAAGAAAGAGUUUGCCAAAGUCAAGUAAAAUGUUCGAUUGGCAGGGGAGUAGUGACCCAUUGAUUUCAACUGUAUCAUGUCGUAUGUACCAGGCACAUGAUAAAUGGCAGGUUAUGCAACAUUUUUGUAAUAAAUGUGCAAUAUUUUUCAUAUAUGCAGAAUUUUGUUACAGACACAGGAUAAAUGGCAUGUUAUGUUGAUUCUCUUAUGCUUAAAAAGCUACUUUUGCUUUUGCUUUCUAAUACGUAUCAUGGCAGUAUGCUGUCUCUUGGUUGAUACCAAACAAAUGUGAACAAAAAAAACAUUACAUGUGUACUAUUUUCCUUUUCGGCGUUGUUGUGAAAUGGUAGUGUAAUUUCUGCGUUGAACGCUCUCUUAGACGGUAGCAUAAGCUGAUUACUGCUUCCUUACAAAAUAAAUACAAACAAGUUAAAUUUAAUGGUAGAACACAAGAACACAAGAACCCCUCUUGUGGAAUCUCAUAACAGAAAGUGUGGAUUGCUUGUUCCUAUUUCCGCUCAAUAAGAUGUCGUUGUGAUGCUAGCUGGUUGCAUCAUUCAAGCUACUCUUGACCUGCUCGAUGCUGUAUCUCGGCAGCAAGCCAGGCUGCCAUUCCUCGCGUGGAUUAGUUUGUUGCCUCGCGCAUCCCGAUUCCUCAACCUCCCAGUCCCACACGUGCUCAAACAUGAUGCUAUAGUAACAAACAAUUGAACAUCUAGUAUAAGAAAGACUGGGUUGAUCCUGUUGUGUAGUGAAGCCAAACAAUUAACCGCAUCAAGCUAAGCUGGAAUGCUAAUCCACACGAACAAGGGCGACAUGUGCUCAUAUCCAACUGUACGGGUCAACCUGACAAGAAAACAAAUGCUGAGUAGUACUGCAUACUAAUAGCUCUGUUAGAAAGUUGGUGAGCUAUGUUUCUAGAAACUGUAUCCAUGUUAGUCGCGAUAGUAGCCUUAAGUUUCAAACCAUAUAGAAAGUCGAGUUUUUUCAAAUGACACUUACAUUGGAUUCAUUACUAGACUGGGCCAUGAAAGCAGUAUCGCAACUGAAAAAAAAGAGUUGAAUCGUCUCAUCUUUGUCACGAAAUAACAUGUUUUGCUACACGAUCAUUUAAUGAGAUUUUCAUUUGUAAAAACUACUUCACUUCCUAGAUAGUGUACGCAAAUCUUGUACUUGAGUGAUGCUUUUAGUUUGCUAAGAUGUGUUUGUGCCGAAAGGUGAUCGAGUUCAAGAGAACUUGUUGGAUAAAAUUGUUCCCCAUUCCGAUGUUUCACUCAAGAUAACGUAUCAUGUGUAUUGUACUUAAAUACUGUUUGAGGGCAUAUAAUGUGUGUAUUACUAUUAACACCCAUACAAUAAAGGGAUUUUUUAUUUUGUCCUGACAGCAAAAACUACUGAAAUAGGAUUAAGAAAAUCACUUAUAAGCAAAAAAGUGAAUGUUCUUUGAAAAGUGUGCUAACACCCACAAGAUUUGUAAAACCGAAGAAAAUGAGGGCAAGUAAAAACACUUCCAUCCAAGAUAUGGAUGGAGACAUAAACACAUGUAUCCUCAAACCUGUUGGUAAAAAUUAAAAAUUACUUAGACACAAUUCAAGUGAAGAAGUUCACACCUGUGGAAAAUACCUAGUAUCUCAAAAUCUUUGCACCAUAUUUUCAGUUCCUGAAACUAGAGCUGAUCUUGUUAGAGUAUCUCUUCUAGCAGAUGACUCAAACAACUUUAAGGAGAAUUUUUUUUGUUUUAGAAAAUUAAGCAUCACCUACCAGACCCCCUAAAUAAUUAACGCACAUUUAUUUUGACUUUUAUCUUUCAAAACUUUGUCUCAUUCCCUUAAAUUUAGUCCAAUGGAGUGCUUUCUCAGCAAAAGUAGGAUGGCACUCGGCUCCAAUCCGCCUGUCGGCCGCUGCCCCGACGACCAAGAAAAUGGAACCCUGCACCACCGCGCACCUUCGGCAACCAAAGCCGACGCCGGAAUCCCAUUGGCCAUGAGGAAUCUCACGAAAUCCGGCACAACAGCUUCAGCUGGUUCCAUGGUCAAGGGAAUUAUAUUCACACUUGGAGCUAUAUGUGCAAGGGAAACAAAUACUCGAAGAAAAGCUGAAUGGUGUGGUGCAAGAAGUACUUAUUCAGUGCUAUAUUCCACAUGGAAGCAUCUGAGCAAGAGAAACAGGUACUCGAAGAAAAGCUGAAUGGUGUGGUGCAAGAAGUGUUGGAAAUUGAUCUUCUUAUUUCUGGUAGACCUCUAAGUAACAGUCCUCUUGAAAGGUUCUCAUACACUGAUAUGCUAUUACAUUUUGUGUCAAAUUAUUUACAUGGAAUGACUUCUAUAAAUUACUCAAUGUUUUGUAGGACUGAUGGUCCACUGUACGUAUUAUAAAGAAGCAUGAAGGAGCACUUUAAUCGCCGAUGAAGUUCAUUCGAACAAACAUAGUCUCCCUCAUUGAAGAUUGAUAAAUAUUGUCUUUUGUAGUUGUCUUGUUUUUCAGUUAGAUAUGAGCAAGUACAUUGGUCAUGUGAGGAGUGCUUAAGCUGUGCUUUUGACUCAAAUUUCUUAAAUGGUUGUCCGAAAAAACUUUUUAAAUGGUAUUUUAGUUCCAUAAUAGUAUGUUUAAUUUUUAUUAAUUUUCCUGACUUAUACUGAUAAAAGGGCUAUGAUCCUUUCAUUAUUCAUAUUCUUUUGCUUCUAAAUUAAUGUGUAUUUUUAUAUUCAAAUGUUGGAUGCUGUAUGUAUAAAGUGGUUGUUAACGAUUCUACAGGUGGUUGAACUGAAGUUAUAAAUAUAGUGGUCGCCAAAGGUUAAUCGAAUGGCAGCCUAGUGGCAAGGGAGCGCAGUGGCGUCUCCAGCAACCAGGGUUCGAGCCACGUCGGGGACGAAUUUCUGGUUUCUCACAAGGGAUGCUUUCUCCUAUAUCAAUAAACCAUGGGUGCUAGUGCCCAUGAGUUUCAUUUUUUUUUACUAAGUGGUCGCUAAUGAUGCUUCGGUCAACCAUGGAAAAAAAUAGCAAAGAAAAGAGUGGUCUUGAAUAGUAUAAUUAUGGUUGUUAUUGCCUCAAGAUUGACAACGACAAACCAUCCCGUCGUUACAAGAAUUACGGCAGGAAAAUGUAUGCAAUCAUUAUUACUUUAAACAAUGGAGUCUAUAAAAACGGCUAAGAACCAUCUGAUUGUGGUGGUCAUUUUUCUUCAGCGGCCACAAUCUAACUUUUAACAACUCCAUAUACCAUCUUUAAAAACGGUUUUUCCUGUAGUGGAUUGUGAUCCAGCCACGUCUGUUUGAAAACUAAACGUUUGUAGAGAAAAUACGCUGCCUUUCCACCAGUACGCAAGCACGUAUGGGACAGCCAGUUACUACAAGGUAGCCAGAUCGAUCUGUGUUGGCACAACAUGGCAAAACACGGAUUCAACACAACACAACACAACACGGAGUCACAGGACCAUGUCUCUCCCGUGUUAUUUUCCUUGCUUGAGCUAAAUUUGUUACCCACGGGUUACACGAGUGUAAAUAGCAGCUAUACUAGCUAACUACAAUUAGAAGUCAGUGAUUGAUUCUUGUCCAACCCAGACCUAGAGUUUGACUCGUGGUUAUUCUCAGCAAGUUGGCGAUGCAACAAAGGACAAAUGCAGUCAACGACGCAUUAAUUGCUGUACAACGUAGUAGUAACCCGCUGGUGCAUGAACCCUGUAGAGGCAUAUCUUCAGCCUUGGGAGCAGUGCAAAUAUGACUAUAUAUCUUGAAACUAACCAGGCUACCGUGAUAUAGCCGGAUACAUGGUAUACAUGUCUUCCUAGUGCCUCUCAAGCCUAGAUUGUUAGCUGCCAUUCUCCACCUGUGAUAUGCAAGCUGGCAAUGGCACCACGUUUGGUGCACUAUGCCCUAGUUAUGCAUACAAAAGGAACAACAUUGAGAGCAGGGAGGUGGCAAGACUUUGGAGGACAUUUCAUAAGAGAUGUUGGUGGCGAUGGACCUCUAUAUAUGCGAGGUUUCUCACUCCUCUUUUUUGUGUGUCUCGAAUUGUCCAUAAAUUCCUACGGACCCUACCGAAUAAAAGAAGUUGUGGUUUCGGCACACAACCACUAGUUGCUCUUUUGCCCAAAGGGUUUUAUGGAGAUGACAUAUAGCCAGCUAAAAAGUGUGAAGAAUGGUCGGAGGAAAAGCAACUAAUGGUGGCUACCAACAAUUAAUCUUCAGAACGUGUGGACUGCUUCUCAAGCUCAUCAUAUCUCUUCUUAUCUACGACUUAAAAGUCUGAACAAAUGCACUACUUUUUGGGUCAAAACCUAAGUAUUCAAGUUGACAUUGGAAGAGUAGUCAUAAUCAAAAUCAUGGUUGAUACACGACACAUGAGGCCACACUCUUCGUUUGUGCAUGACAUGGCAAAAUGGGAGUAACUUGAUGCCAAUAUCUAUCUAGUGUAAAGAAAUGGCACUAUCAAUGUAACCAUGCAUAGACAAAAGGCAUGCGGGUAACCUUGGUGUUUGCUCCUGACAAGGCGGCUGUUGACGUGCAGUCAAACAAAAGGAAACGGAAAAGGCAUGUGUGUGUAUUUUCUCUUGCUCAUGGAACAGGUGUGAAUUGUUCAUCCAUUCAUUGUUAAAAUGUCCGAAUAGGCUGAGCUUAAACAUAAAAUUUUCUUCUGGAUGGUGGCACACUCAAGGGUUAAUACCAGAGCUAUGUUGAAAAGAAAAGGAAUGCAACUAGAUGAUCCCUACCACCCAAAUUGUAAUGAAAAUGCUGAAGAAACACUUGUGCACUUACUCUGGGAUUGUUACAUCGGACUGUUGGAAAACUUUGAUCCCUAGGAAAAAACAAGCUUCUCUGUUUAUGAAGACACUCAGUUUUCGAUAGAAGAACUGCCUAAGCCUUUUGCUUUGGAGAUAACUAUGCUAGGAUGAUGGAAUAUAUGGUUCAAAGAAAUGGCAAAGUAUUCAGAGCCACUCAACCACUAAUUCGAAAUAAAGGAGAAGUAUCCAGCACAAUUUGCUCAUUGGAUAAAUAAUAACCUCUGAAUUAUGGAUGUCAUACCUAGAGCAGGACUUGGUUAAUUGGAGAUCAAUGUCUUUUUCUUUUGGUUCUUCCCCCUUGUAACAUACUGCUAUAUUAAUGAAAAUUUCCCAUAGAACUAUUGUUCUAGGUUUGCGGCUAAAAAAGAGAGUCCAAAUAGGCUAUUACCGUGGGCACAGAACUCCCAGUUAAUCCAAGCGUAAGCCCUAAAAUUAAAGAUCAAAUCUCCUAAGUGCCUGGAUACACACCUUCUUAGCAUGGUCAUCAAGGACCUGGUUACAUCUCGUUUAGAUCAUCUAGAGCUUCCUUAUAUUGUAUUUUCUCUGAUAUGGCCAUAACAAUGACACCGGGCACAAGUUAGGCUAUGGCGGUCCAUUGUCUUGUUGACCGCCUCGUUACCUAUUACGACCGCCCAAACACCGUGCACACACAUGGGAUCUUCAUCUCCGCAGCCCAUACACCUUAAUUAUCAUCAUCAAGCAUGGGGUAGUACUUCCUUCAAUUCCGACAUGACCCUCUUCUUCAAUUUCCUUCCAUAUGUAAAGCAACAUAACGAUGAUAAAGAAUGACCCAACUCCAUUGUCGGAGAUCAAUGGUGAAGAAGAUACGAGUUGUUAACUUUUCCAUGGAUCGAACACACGGCCAAGAGGCACAACUCAAUAUGCUGUAUGCAACUAGCCUCCAUGUGUGUACGAACUAGCUGCAACUUUCAAAAUUUUGCCGGCGCUCACACAAGCACCAAUAUUGCAACUCAAAAAAAGUUGAAUCGUCUCAUCUUUGUCACGAAAUAACAAGUUUUGCUACAUGGUCGUUUAGGGAGGUUGUAUUUUUUUUAUAAAAACUACUCCACUUCCAAGAUAAUAUAAGGAAAUCUUGUUCUACAAUGACACUAUUAGUUUGCUAAGAUUUUUAUGCCGAAAGGUGGUCCAGUUCAAUAGGACAUCUUGGACAAAACUGUUCCCCAUUCUGAUGUUUCUCUCAAGAUAAUUAUCAUGUGUAUUACUUAAAAAUUGUUCGAGGAAACAAAAUGGUACGUAUUAACACCAAUAUAAUAAUCAAUAAAAAGGAAUUUUGUCAUGACACCAAAAACUAUUUUUUUACAAGAAAAACUAUUAAAAUGACAUCUGAAGGUAAAAAAAAAUCUGUUAUAGGCAAACAAAUGUUGAUGUUCUUUGUAAAGUGUGCUGACACCCAUAAGAUUGGUGAACUAAGAAAAUGAUGGCAAGUAGAAAAUACAUCCAUCUGAGAUAUGGCUGAAGACAUAAAAAUAUGCAUCCUCUCCCCUAUUGGUGAAAACUAAAAAAAAGUGCUAAAAAUUAUUGAAACGUAAUCCCGGUGAAGGAAUUCACACAUGUGGAAAAUAUCUAGUAUCUCAAAAUGUAUGCACCAUGUUUUCAGUUCGUGGAACUUAAGCUGAUCUUGUUAGAGCAUCUCUAGAAGAUGCCUUAAAAGUUAAAUUUGAGGACAUAAUUUUUAGGCAAUUAAAGCCCUGUUCGGAAAGCCUCCACUCCACAACUCCACUCCCGGAGUUGGUGGAGUUGUAGUUGAAAACUGUGGAGCAGCUAUUUCUUGACUCCACAACUUCUAGAAUUUCGUGGAGCUGGUGGAAUUUCGAACAGGCCUUAAGUAUCAGCUAGCAGAUCCCCGAAAUCACCAAUGCAUAAAAAUGACUUUUGUCUCUCAAACCUUUGCCUCAUUCAAUUAAAUUUAGAGUGCAUUCUCUGCAAAGUAUGGAGACGCUCGGCUCCCAUCCACAUCAGAGCCGUCUUCCGUCUGCCGCCUCAGUGCACGACAUAAUGAACCCCAACCGCCCUUGCAACUCCAGCUACUCUCGCCGACAAUGUAAUCCCACCGGCGAUGAGAAAUUUCGUGAAAUCGGGUAACCGCCUGUUCAGUCGGUUCCAUGGUCAGCGGCACCACGCUCAUUCCGGCAGUCUGCCCAUGAGCUGCUCCUGCAGAAGCACACCGAAGAACGUCCACACAGAGGCCAGAGCUCCGACUGCUGCCUACGGCCACCGCGAGCGGCAGCGCUAUGACACUGUACUCGCUGAUGCAGGGCUCCAUGCUUGCCGUGAAAAAGGAUGUUGGAUAGACCGGAGGAAUGACAAUCUGACUCGAGCACGACGGCCCUUCGAUGUCGAUGCGGCUCUCCGAGGCAAAGUUCUUUAUCAGGCCGAGCUCCACGAUACAUUAUAUCUGGAUGAUCGGUUUGCCUCGUGAUAUGUGCACUUCGUAGCAACACGAGCCCUGCUUGUUAUCUAAAUGACAUUAUGAGGAGUUGUCAUGUCUAUGUAAACACUAGUACAAAGUAGGUAUAGGUUCUUCGAAAUUGCAUAGGAGCACUGGAUGACUCCCCACCCUGAAAUCUGUUCCAUAAAUUCUUCUCGGGAUCCACAAUCACUAUAUUAGCUGUUUUGUAUUCACCCAUUCUUUCUCACGUAUUCAGCAUGCCGUGCUGCGUAUGUCCGUACUAAAGCUGACGCGUUUUUGUCCUGAUGGCAGAAACUUCUGUCCAAAGUGUUGGAGCCGGCCUCAUGCACCAUCUCCCCAACCACCAUCUGCCCAACUACCAACCUCUGAAAUGCACCCGCACUGGCAACGGCUCUCAGGCAAUUCACACGCAACAGUCAUCUUCCUCCCUGGUCAUGCUCAUAUUUAAGUUCAUCUUCCUCACAUCUCCCAUAUCCAUUCGUUUCAUUCAUCUCAUACAUAGAUGGUUCUGAUAACCAUGUCAAGCUCUUCGUCCUGCCUUCUUCCACUCGAUGAGGAGCCUCCCCUCCCCCUCAUGGUAUGCCCGUUUUGCAACAACAGGAUGGUUUAGUGGUGGGUUUCUCGCACCAAAAUCAAGCCAGGGAAGCACUUUUACUGCUGCGAACACGAGUGUCUAUGUCCAAAUCUGUUUCCCUUGUUUUCAGUGUAUAUCAUAUGAUUUCCUUCCUCAUUCGUCUAGUUUUUUGCUGUUUUGUUUAGUUAAAUGCAACUUCUGCAAAUGGGAGGACAACUACAUCAAUGUCAUACGCGCCAAGUGGCCAAGGCUCUUCACUGUCCCAUCUCGCGAAGACCGCAAGUUCCACCGCUGCAUCAUCUCUCUUCUGUUACUCAUUCAGUUUCCAGUGAUGUUCAUCUGCUGCAAGGUCGCUUGAAACUGCCCAAGCAUGUCGUAGUUAUCUAGGUUCCUCCUUCGUCUUGCAGAUAAUCUAUCGACUAAUCAUUUAGUCAUAAUUUCAAUUCGAUCAUGUCCUUUGUUUCUUCGUUAAAGCAGUGUCUGCCCCCGUGAGAUGGACUUCCAAUUACCAUGUAAUAUUUUUUUAAUAUUUUAUGUACCAAAUCGACUCGUUUGCAAUAUUAAUAUCAUUUCCACUUUAUCAAAAUUUUAUGUAAUUUUUUUUCCACAAGUUUGCCUGACUCUGUUGCCCAUGCUACACUUCCCUCGAAUUAUUAAUUACAAAUGGACUGUACUCAUAUUUUCCGACGAAGUUGUUCCAUUUUUUUUUUCGACUGAAGUUGUUUCACAAUUUGGCUUUCCUUAAAGGUCAACUUAAAGUUCCGUCCUUCCUGUUUACACGAAUAACUUACUACCGACGUAACAAACUUUAUCACACAGCCUUAAUUAUCUCCGUUCGUCCUGUGCACAACAUGCAUGCAUCCAGAUCGAAGCUCAUAACCACCAUGCAAAAACUAAAUGCCUGCAGAAAUUACAAGCAAAUUCAAUGUAGCAUGUCCCACCACGGCGACCAGCUAGCAGUCCACCACUUUACCACACAACAACCACACAGGCUUCCUAUCUUGCCUUAUAAACACCCCAUUCACUCUCCACCUAGAACAAACACCCAUAUCACCACUCCCAUCUCAACUCUCCAACUCCAGAGCACUAAUUCUGUCUGCGCUUGCAGCUCGCUCAUCUGGCAUCUCACCGUGCCUAUGACUGUAAAUCUAAUAACUACAUUACACUUGUGCUAAUUUUAGGAAAUAGAAAAAUACACAUGGUCUAAAUAAUAUUCAUAACAGAGCUGUUUCAGAACAAAUACUUAUACUAAGAACAAACCAGAGCCUUCUAUUAAGCAAAAUUAUACCAAAUCCUAGAUCCCUAACUAUUUAUUAGGAAAUCAAGCUGUCAUAUUAUACACAGAAAGUAUAUAAUUGGUCAUAACAAAGAAUUACUAACUGUCUGACCCAGCCGCUGUUCUCCCUUUCGACCUCUAUAAGAUUGGGUGUUCUUGAUUUCGAUGUAAGUUCUCCAUCUAGUAUAGUUCGAAUGUGAUGCUCCGUGCUUGCAUUAGAUGAAUCGACCUCGUUCGCUUCCGCUACUGUAGAUAGAGCGUGCAUUUCCGUGACCACCAUCUGUGCUAACUGCUAAGCCAGCUGCGCACUCGUCUGCUAUCUGAUCUUCCACGUAACUGAAAAGCAGUUUAAAGAAUUUUUGGGGUGAACAGGUUGUGCGGUAAGAAAAUGAAUGAUUUUCUUUAAAAACAGGAUAGUUUAGCUUCCAUGGAAGCCGUUUCCCGGAUCUAGCUGCGGAUCUGGCGACGGAAUCAUCUCUGUUCUCCAAGGUUCACCACUGCUCGAACUUGUAUGCAAAUAUGAUUUCUUGGCUGAUCAAACACACGGGAUAGUAGACUGGGGUGGAAGAAGAACAGUAGUCUAGGGCGAGAGCUUUCUUCCCUCUCCUCAGAUCUAGCAAUGGAGUCUUCCUGGGGUCGGGCGUAACUAGUGGAGGUAUGUGCAGGAGUCAGGGUGGACGCAGCGAGCGGGCUUUUUGGCCCGCUCGUGGCCCGCACAGGACUGGACCGAACGGUCCGGCCUCGCUGGCAAACUUGGUCGGUCCAGAUUGGAAAAGUAGGCCCACUCAGCACCUCGGCCCGGUCCGCAUUUUAACCGAGCCGCUCGGUCCGACCGAGAACUGCCGCCGGCGACGUGGGCGCUGCGUCGAGGUGAGCAUCCUGGCUCUCUUUAAACAGUCGAGCCUCGUUUGCCUGUUCGAUCUCUGCAUCACUGCAUGCACGGCGGCUACACAUACAUGGUGUUCUAGUUCGCCGAGAACAGCCCGUUCAACGAGUGGCUCCACGUCCAUGGAGGCGAGGUGAUGGGAUGGAUGACCCAGCACGUAGUCGGCAUCUGCACAGGCACGCACGGCGAGCGGCGGCACACACGCACGCACGCCGUAUGUCGUUCCCGCGGUGACCGCGGUGUCAGUUAAAAGUUGUUGUCAAACCGUAAUCGUAAUUGUAUUGUUAAAAGUUCAGCUUCGUCAGUUAGAAUUUUCUUCAGUUUGUGACUUGGUCAGUUGGUCUUAGGUUGUUAGCGCAGCCCGUUGCUUUAAUCGGAUCGUAGGAUGGCACGAUACUAAAACGAUCCUAGCGACGAUGCAGGGUAGCGGGCAAGGAACGCUGGGAUGGCAGAAACAGCAAGGCCUGCACACAGAAAAUUGUGGGUGUUUUCCUUUCCUUUUAUUCCGUCAAACAAAUAACAGAAACCACAAAAGAAACGAGGUUCGAUCCGUUAAUUAAGGCGUCAUCCCACGACUAUCUCCACGUCAAAAUUGAUCCACUAAUCACGGCAAGGCCACCACACACGAAAUCAUGGGCUCAUGGACGCGCUAAAAUACUUGAAUGUAACGGAAAAUCUGCAGGAACAAACAUGAGCGGCUAACAGAUGCGCUCUGGCCGGCGCCACCGCGUCUCGUCGCUGCCAUGUGUGAACCGUCGCCGAUCUCGACCAUGCAGUUGUCUUCAUCGUGUCCAGGAGCUCGCCGGAGUCGUCUGUCACCGCUGCCGUGGUCACCACGUCGCCGGCGCCGCCGCCAUGGGCGAUCCUCUCGGUCCGGCCCAAGCUUUACCUCCGCCGGUCCGGUGCAGGAAAAGGGGACCGCCGGGCUGCUCGGUCCGGUCCGGUUCGGUCCGCCGCCGGCCGCUCGGUCAAGGACUGGACUGGCCCGGAACGUGUCCACCCUGAUGCAGGACGGUCGAAUUGAUUAGGCAGCCGAACUGUACAGUACUGUUAUGGGCCCCUUUGCAGUUACAGUUAAUGCUGACGGACAGGUACAUACUGUUAACGCAUACGCUAUGGACGUGUAUUAGCAGGCAAAACUAUUCUAUACGAAAGUUGCACACAUGCCCAGACAGCACGGCGGACACGAUUUCGGUGGGUGGAGUCGCCGAGUGCUCUUAGUCCACUUCCCAGGUUCUUCAUGCUAGUCCGUGGGAGUCCACCCCUUUCUGGUCAUAUCGCACACUGUGGCUGGGAAGAGGAUCCUCAUCAGGGUGCAGCUCGACCAAUGAGGCAAUGCCAUAUGGGCUCGCUGGAACCUGGCCCACAUGUGAAUGACCCAACAGCACACACCGUUAGCCAGGGGAGCUGGAUACUGCAGGUCGCUUUGUCGUCUCACAUGCCCCACUGCCUCUGGUGAGUCUCGUCAGCGAUUUUUUUUUUUAAAAGAAGGAACAGUGCAUCGUGCUGCAGCUGAACCGAGAGAGAGUACCAAAGAGCCAAAUCCUAGAGAGGAAAGUGUGGAGUAGUAAACUCUUUAGCGAGCCGUGUGGCCGAUUCAGAGAAAUAAACAACAAAUUCUCAUAGGAUUAAAGAGAGCGUUUGUGUAAGAGAGCUUUUUUGCGGAAAUGAGAGAGAAUACCUUUUUUGGAAGGUCAAGAAAAGUCUUUUUUCUUCACAAGCGAGAGAGAAUCUGUAUGGAUCCAUAUUCCAUGGUCAAGGGAAUUAUAUUCACACUUGGAAUUAUCUGCGCAAGGGAAACAAAAUACUCGAAGAAACGCUGAAUGGCGUGGUGCAAGAAGUGUCAGAAAUAAAGUGUCUUAUGAAUGGAGAUAUCUAAGUAACAAUCCUCAUGAAUGCCAGCAUGAUCAAGAUGUUCUCAUACAUUGAUUUUAUAUGCUAGUAUACUUUGUGCCAAUUUAUUUACAUGGACUAACUUUUAUGAAUCACUCAAUGUUUUGUAGGACUGAUGGUCGACAGUAUUAUAUAGAUGCAUGGGGAGGCAUUGUAAUCUCCUAUGAAGAAUGCUAUUCAUUCGGACAAUGCUGAUCUCCCUCGAUUCUAUUAAUAAAUAUUAUCUUUUGUAGUUGUCUCAUUUUUCAGUUACAUACGAGCAUGUGAAUUGGUCAUGAGAUGAGUGCUUAAGGUGUGCUUUUUUUACUCAAAUUUCCUAAACGGUGUUUUAGUUCCGUAAUAGUAUGUUUACAUUUUUGUUAAUUUACCUUAUUUUUGUUGAUAAGGGAGGCUAUAAUCCUUUCAUUAUUCACAUUCUUUUGUUUCUAAAUUAAUGUGUAUUUUAAUACUCGCUGCGUAUAUAAUUAAAGUGGUUGUUCACGAUUCUACAAGUGGUCACUGAAGGAUAUCAAAAUGGUAAAGAGAAUGAUAAUUACUAAUAUAAAGUGGUCUUUAAUGAUGCUUCAAUCAACUAUGGACAAAUUAUUAGUGAUGAAAAAAUGGUCGUCAAUAGUACAAUUGUGACCGUUAUUGCCUCAAGAUUGACAACGACAAACCAUCCUGUCGUGACAAGAAUGACGACCAGCAAAUGUAUGCAAUCAUUAUUAAUUUAAACAAUGAAGUCUUUAACAACGGCAAAUAACCAUCAGAUUAUGGUCGUUAUUGAUCUUUAGCGACCACAAUCUAACUUCUAACAACCCCAUACAUGGUCGUCAAAAAUGUUUUUUUUGUAGUGGCUUGUGAUCUGCACGAGUAUGCAAACCACACGUGUGUAGCGAAGAUAAGCUGGCUUUCCCCCAGUACACAAACAUGUACUGGAGAGCAACCUAUUACAGUACAAGCUUAGCUACACUGAAACACGCAUGCGACACAACACGGGGGCAUAACGAUUGAUGGUCACUGCCUCAAAGGACCGUGUUGGCCCUGUGUUAGUUUCCUUGCUUGAUCUGAGUUUGUUACACGCUGGUUACAAGUGCAUAAAUGGCAGCUAUACUAGCUAACUACAAGUGCAACUCAGUGAUUGUUUCUUUCCCAAGCCGAAUUUACACUCAUGGUUAUUUGCAACAAAUUGGAGAUGCAACAAAUGACAAAUGCGGUCUGUGCAGUAAUUGCAGUACUAUGUAGUUGUGACCUGAUGGUGCUUCAACCCUCUACAGGCGUAUAUCUUGGCUGGGCAGCAGUGCAAAUAUGACUAUAUACCGAAAAACUAACCAGGCUACUGCAAUAUACCUAGAUCCGUCGUACACAUGCCUUCCUAACACUUUCCAAGCCCAGAUUGUUUGGUGCCAAUCUCCAUCUCUGCGGUGCAAACUAGCAUCACAUUUGGUGUACCAUGUCCCAGUAUUGCACACGGAAGGAACAACCCUGAUAGCAGGGAGAAUGCAAGUCAUUGGAGCACAUUUCAUUAGAGAUGUUGGUGGUGAUGGUCCUAUAUAUAUGUGAGGUCUCUGGCUCCUCUUUAAUAUUUUUUGUCGACUUGUCCUUCAAUUCCUAUGGACCCUACCUAAUAAAAGAAGUUGUGGUUUUUGCACGCAACCACUAGUUGAUCUUUUGCAUGCCCAAAGGGAUUUAUGGAGAUGGCACAGCCAACUAAAAAGUGUGAAGAAUGGUUGGAGGAAAAGGAAAUAAUAGUGGUUGCCAACAAUUAAUCUUCAAAACAUGCAGGCUACUUCUCAAGGUCAUCGUAUGUCUUCUUAUCUAUUACUUAAAACUCUGAACAGAUGUACAAAGUUUUGGGCCGAAAUAUAUGUAUCCAAGUUGAUAUUCGAAGAGUCACAGUCAUGGUAGAUUCGCACGAGACCUGAGGUCAACUCUCCGUUUGUCCAUGGUAUUGCAACACAGGAGCCACUUGAUGCCAAUAUUUAUCUACUAUAUUGAAUUGGUGCUAUCUGUGUAACCAUGCAUAGACAAACAUGUGUUUGCUCCUGGCAAGGCGGCUGUUGAUGUGCGAUCAAACAAAGGGAAACAAAAAUGGCAUGUGUUUGUAUUUUCUCUCGCUAAUUUGAACAUGUGUGAGAUGUUCAAUAGUCCAUUCAUUAACAAAAUGUCCAAAUUAGGCUAUCACGGUCGACAUAUGACUCCCAUGCAUAAUCCAAUCAUAAGCCCUAAAACUAAAGUUCGAAUUUAGUCACAUAAUGCAUGUAAGAAUUGUGCUGAUGGGGCCAUGAGCUUGGCCCAUAUACACAAGUGUCAAGGAGAGCAUGGUUGUUAUAUCCAACACAUACCAACCGACACAUUCACAUACUUUCAUGGACAUCCUCUCGACCAACUCCUUAAGCAUGUAUACACACCUUCUUAGCCUGACCAAGGACCAAGGUUCAUCUCGUUUUGAGCGUCUCAAGCUUCCUUUGUUGUAUUUUUCUCUCAUAAGGUCAUAAAAACUACAACAGCCACAUGUUAGGCUAUGGAGGUCCAUUGUCUUGUUGACCGCCUCGUUACCUUUCAUGACAACCCAGACUCCAUGCAUGUGCACGCAUUGGGUCUUAGUCUACGCAGCCCAUACACCUUGAUUGUCAUCAUCGAGCAUGCAUGGGGUACUACAUCCUUCAAUGACAUCAUGACCCUCUUCUUUGAUUUCCCCUCAUAUAUGAAGCAACAUAACGAUGAUAGAGAAUUCUCGAACCCCAUUGGUGUUGGGGAACGUAGUAAUUUCAAAAAAAUUCCUAUGCACACGCAAGAUUAUGGUGAUGCAUAGCAACGAGAGGGGAGAGUGUUGUCUACGUACCCUCGUAGACCGGCAACGGAAGCAUUGACACAAUGUAGAUGAAGUAGUCGCACGUCUUCCCGAUCCGACCGAUCCAAGUACCGAACGUACGACACCUCCGAGUUCUGCACACGUUCAACUCGGUGACGUCCCUCGAGCUCCGAUCCAGCCGAGUGUUGAGGGAGAGUUUUGUCAGCACGAUGGCGUGAUGACGGUGAUGAUGUCUACCGCUGCAGGGCUUCGCCUAAGCACCGCUACGAUAUGACCGAGGUGGAAUAUGGUGGAAGGGGGCACCGCACACGGCUAAGGAACGAUCACGAAGAUCAACUUGUGUGUCAUGGGGUGCCCCCUUGCCCCCGUAUAUAAAGGAGGGAGAGGGGGAGGUGCGGCCGGCCCUAGGGGUGCGCCUGGAGGAGUCCUACUCCCACCGGGAAUAGGACUCCCCCCUCUUGCCUUGUUGGAGAAGGAAAGAGGAAGGGGGAAAGAGGAAACGGGGGCGCCGCCCCCCCUUCCUUGUCCUAUUCGGACUAGGGGGGGGGGGCCUGCCCUAGCCGGCCCUCCUCUUCUCCCUUAGGGCCCAUGUAGGCCCAUUAAACCCCGGGGGGUUCCGAUAACCCCUCGGUACUCCAGUAAAAUCCCGAUUUCUCCCGGAACGUUUCCGAUAUCCAAAUAUAGGCUUCCAAUAUAUCAAUCUUUAUGUCUCGACCAUUUCGAGACUCCUCGUCAUGUCCAUGAUCUCAUCCGGGACUCCGAACAACCUUCAGUACAUCAAAACACAAAAACCCUAAUUACGAUCGUCACCGAACUUUAAGCAUGCGGAUCCUACGGGUUCGAGAACUAUGUAGACAUGACCGAGACACGUCUCCGGUCAAUAACCAAUAGCAGAACCUGGAUGCUCAUAUUGGCUCCUACAUAUUCUACGAAGUUCUUUAUCGGUCAGACCGUAUAACAACAUACAUUGUUCCCUUUGUCAUCGGUAUGUUACUUGCCCGAGAUUCGAUCGUCGGUAUCUCAAUACCUAGUUCAAUCUCGUUACCGGCAAGUCUCUUUACUCGUUCCGUAAUACAUCAUCCCGCAACUAACUUAUUAGUUGCAAUGCUUGCAAUGCUUGCAAGGCUUGAGUGAUGUGUAUUACCGAGAGGGCCCAGAGAUACCUCUCCGACAAUCGGAGUGAGAAAUCCUAAUCUCGAAAUAUGCCAACCCAACAAGUACCUUUGAAGACACCUGUAGAGCACCUUUAUAAUCACCCAGUUACAUUGUGACGUUUGGUAGCACACAAAGUGUUCCUCCGGUAAACGGGAGUUGCAUAAUCUCAUAGACAUAGGAACAUGUAUAAGUUAUGAAGAAAGCGAUAGCAACAUACUAAACGAUCGGGUGCUAAGCUAAUGGAAUGAGUCAUGUCAAUCACAUCAUUCUCCUAAUGAUGUGAUCCCGCUAAUUAAAUGACAACACAUGUCUAUGGUUAGGAAACAUAACCAUCUUUGAUUAACGAGCUAGUCAAGUAGAGGCACACUAGUGACGUUUAGUUUGUCUAUGUAUUCACACAAGUAUUAUGUUUUCGGAUAAUACAAUUCUAGCAUGAAUAAUAAACAUUUAUCAUGAUAUAAGGAAAUAAAAUAAUAACUUUAUUAUUGCCUCUAGGGCAUAUUUCCUUUAGUCUCCCACUUGCACUAGAGUCAAUAAUCUAGAUUACACAGUAAUGAUUCUAACACCCAUGGAGCUUUGGUGCUGAUCAUGUUUUGCUCGUGGAAGAGGCUUAGUCAACGGGUUUGCUACAUUCAGAUCCGUAUGUAUCUUGCAAAUCUCUAUGUCUCCCACCUGGACUAGAUCCCGGAUGGAAUUGAAGCGUCUCUUGAUGUGCUUGGUUCUCUUGUGAAAUCUGGAUUCCUUUGCCAAGGCAAUUGCACCAGUAUUGUCACAAAAGAUUUUCAUUGGACCCGAUGCACUAGGUAUGACACCUAGAUCGGAUAGGAACUCUUUCAUCCAGACUCCUUCGUUUGCUGCUUUCGAAGCAACUAUGUACUCCGCUUCACAUGUAGAUUCCGCCACAACGCUUUGUUUAGAACUGCACCAACUGACAGCUCCACCGUUUAAUGUAAACACGUAUCCGGUUUGCGAUUUAGAAUCGUCCGGAUCAGUGUCAAAGCUUGCAUCAACGUACCCAUUUACAAUGAGCUCUUUGUCACACAUCGGGUAUUUCAGGAUGUUCUUGACCGCUGUCCAGUGAUCCACUCCUGGAUUACUUUGGUACCUCCCUGCUAGACUUAUAGCAAGACACACAUCAGGUCUGGUACACAUCAUUGCAUACAUGAUAGAGCCUAUGGCUGAAGCAUAGGGAACAUCUUUCAUUUUCUCUCUAUCUUCUGCAGUGGUCGGGCAUUGAGUCUUACUCAAUUUCACACCUUGUAACACAGGCAAGAAUCCUUUCUUUGCUUGAUCCAUUUUGAACUUCUUCAAAAAUUUGUCAAGGUAUGUGCUUUGUGAAAGUCCAAUUAAGCGUCUUGAUCUAUCUCUAUAGAUCUUAAUGCCCAAUAUGUAAGCAGCUUCACCGAGGUCUUUCAUUGAAAAACUCUUAUUCAAGUAUCCCUUUAUGCUAUCAAGAAAUUCUAUAUCAUUUCCGAUUAGUAAUAUGUCAUCUACAUAUAAUAUCAGAAAUGCUACAGAGCUCCCACUCACUUUCUUGUAAAUGCAGGCUUCUCCAAAAGUCUGUACAAAACCAAAUGCUUUGAUCACACUAUCAAAGCAUUUAUUCCAACUCCGAGAAGCUUGCACCAGUCCAUAAAUGGAUCGCUGGAGCUUGCACACUUUGUUAGCUCCCUUUGGAUCGACAAAACCUUCUGGUUGCAUCAUAUACAACUCUUCUUCCAGAAAUCCAUUCAGGAAUGCAGUUUUGACAUCCAUUUGCCAAAUUUCAUAAUCAUAAAAUGCGGCAAUCGCUAACAUGAUUCGGACAGACUUAAGCAUCGCUACGGGUGAGAAGGUCUCAUCAUAGUCAAUCCCUUGAACUUUUCGAAAACCUUUUGCAACAAGUCGAGCUUUGUAGACAGUAACAUUACUGUCAGCGUCAGUCUUCUUCUUGAAGAUCCAUUUAUUCUUAAUUGCUUGCCGAUCAACGGGCAAGUCAACCAAAGUCCACACUUUGUUCUCAUACAUAGAUCCCAUCUCAGAUUUCAUGGCUUCUAGCCAUUUUGCGAAAUCUAGGCUCACCGUCGCUUCUUCAUAGUUCGUAGGUUCAUCAUGAUCUAGUAGCAUGACUUCCAGAACAGGAUUACCGUACCACUCUGGUGCGGAUCUUAUUCUGGUUGAUCUACGAGGUUCAGUAGUAUCAUGUUCUAAAGUUUCAUGAACAUCAUCAUUAGCUUUCUCACUAAUUGGUGUAGGUGUCACAGAAACUGGUUUCUGUGAUAUACUACUUUCCAAUAAGGGAGCAGGUACAGUUACCUCAUCAAGUUCUACUUUCCUCCCACUCACUUCUUUCGAGAGAAACUCCUUCUCUAGAAAUAUUCCGAAUUUAGCAACAAAAGUCUUGCCUUCGGAUCUGUGAUAGAAGGUGUAUCCAAUAGUUUCCUUUGGAUAUCCUAUGAAGACACAUUUUUCCGAUUUGGGUUCGAGCUUAUCAGGUUGAAGCUUUUUCACAUAAGCAUCGCAGCCCCAAACUUUCAGAAAUGACAACUUUGGUUUCUUGCCAAACCACAGUUCAUAAGGCGUCAUCUGAACGGAUUUUGAUGGUGCCCUAUUUAACGGGAAUGCGGCCAUCUCUAAAGCAUAACCCCAAAAAGACAACGGUAAAUCAGUAAGAGACAUCAUAGAUCGCACCAUAUCUAGUAAAGUACGAUUACGACGUUCGGACACACCAUUACGCUGCGGUGUUUCGGGUGGCGUGAGUUGUGAAACUAUUCCACAUUGUUUCAAAUGUACACCAAACUCGUAACUCAAAUAUUCUCCUCCAUGAUCAGAUCGUAGGAAUUUUAUUUUCUUGUUACAAUGAUUUUCAACUUCACUCUAAAAUUCUUUGAACUUUUCAAAUGUUUCAGACUUAUGUUUCAUUAAGUAGAUAUACCCAUAUCUGCUUAAGUCAUCUGUGAAGGUGAGAAAAUAACGAUAUCCGCCACGAGCCUCAACAUUCAUCGGACCACAUACAUCUGUAUGUAUGAUUUCCAACAAAUUUGUUGCUCUCUCCAUAGUACCGGAGAACGGUGUUUUGGUCAUCUUGCCCAUAAGGCACGGUUCGCAAGUACCAAGUGAUUCAUAAUCAAGUGGUUCCAAAAGUCCAUCAGUAUGGAGUUUCUUCAUGCGCUUUAUACCGAUAUGAUCUAAAUGGUAGUGCCACAAAUAAGUUGCACUAUCAUUAUCAACUCUGCAUCUUUUGGUUUCAACAUUAUGAAUCUGUGUGUCACUACUAUCGAGAUUUAAUAAGAAUAGACCACUCUUCAAGGGUGCAUGACCAUAAAAGAUAUUACUCAUAUAAAUAGAACAACCAUUAUUCUCUGAUUUAAAUGAAUAACCGUCUCGCAUUAAACAAGAUCCAGAUAUAAUGUUCAUGCUCAACGCUGGCACCAAAUAACAAUUAUUUAGGUCUAAUACUAAUCCCGAAGAUAGAUGUAGAGGUAGCGUGCCGACCGCGAUCACAUCGACUUUGGAACCAUUUCCCACGCACAUCGUCACCUCGUCCUUAGCCAAUCUUCGCUUAAUCCAUAGCCCUGUUUCGAGUUGCAAAUAUUAGCAAUAGAACCAGUAUCAAAUACCCAGGUGCUACUGCGAGCAUUAGUAAGGUACACAUCAAUAACAUGUAUAUCACAUAUACCUUUGUUCACCUUGCCAUCCUUCUUAUCCGCCAAAUACUUGGGGUAGUUCCGCUUCCAGUGACCAGUCUGCUUGCAGUAGAAGCACUCAGUUUCAGGCUUAGGUCCAGAUUUGGGUUUCUUCUCCUGAGCAGCAACUUGCUUGCUGUUCUUUUUGAAGUUCCCCUUCUUCUUCCCUUUGCCCUUUUUCUUGAAACUAGUGGUCUUGUUGACCAUCAACACUUGAUGCUCCUUUUUGACUUCUACCUCCGCAGCUUUCAGCAUUGCGAAGAGCUCGGGAAUUGUCUUAUUCAUCCCUUGCAUAUUAUAGUUCAUCACGAAGCUCUUGUAGCUAGGUGGAAGUGAUUGGAUAAUUCUGUCAAUGACGCAAUCAUCUAGAAGAUUAACUCCUAAUUGAAUCAAGUGAUUAUUAUACCCAGACAUUUUGAGUAUAUGCUCACUGACAGAACUGUUCUCCUCCAUCUUGCAGCUAUAGAACUUAUUGGAGACUUCAUAUCUCUCAAUCCGGGCAUUUGCCUGAAAUAUUAACUUCAACUCCUGGAACAUCUCAUAUGCUCCAUGACGUUCAAAACGUCGUUGAAGUCCCGAUUCUAAGCCGUAAAGCAUGGCACACUGAACUAUCGAGUAGUCAUCAACUUUUCUCUACCAGACAUUCAUAACAUCUGGUGUUGCUCCAGCAGCAGGCCUGGCACCCAGCGGUGCUUUCAGGACGUAAUUCUUCUGUGCAGCAAUGAGGAUAAUCCUCAAGUUACGGACCCAGUCCGUGUAACUGCUACCAUCAUCUUUCAACUUUGCUUUCUCAAGGAACGCACUAAAAUUCAACGGAACAACAGCACGGGCCAUCUAUCUAUAAUCAAACAUAAACAAGAAAGAUACUAUCAGGUACUAAGUUCAUGAUAAAUUUAAGUUCAAUUGAUCAUAUUACUAAAGAACUCCCACUUAGAUAGACAUCCCUCUAAUCCUCUAAGUGAUCACGUGAUCCAAAUCAACUAAACCAUAUCCGAUCAUCACGUGAGAUGGAGUAGUUUCAUUGGUGAACAUCACUAUGUUGAUCAUAUCUACCAUAUGAUUCACGCUCGACCUUUCGGUCUCCGUGUUCCGAGGCCAUAUCUGUAUAUGCUUGGCUCGUCAAGUAUAACCUGAGUAUUCCGCGUGUGCAACUGUUUUGCACCCGUUGUAUUUGAACGUAGAGCCUAUCACACCCGAUCAUCACGUGGUGUCUCAGCACGAAGAACUUUCGCAACGGUGCAUACUCAGGGAGACCACUUCUUGAUAAUUAGUGAGAGAUCAUCUUAAAAUGCUACCGUCAAUCAAAGCAAGAUAAGAUGCAUAAAAGAUAAACAUCAUAUGCAAUCAAUAUAAGUGAUAUGAUAUGGCCAUCAUCAUCUUGUGCUUGCGAUCUCCAUCUUUGAAGCACCAUCAUGAUCACCAUCGUCACCGGCGCGACACUUUGAUCACCAUCGUAGCAUCGUUGUCGUCUCGCCAAUCUUAUGCUUCCACGACUAUCGCUACCGUUUAGUGAUAAAGUAAAACAUUACAACGCAAUUGCAUUGCAUACAAUAAAGUGACAACCAUAUGGCUCCUGCCAGUUGCCGAUAACUCGGUUAGAAAACAUGAUCAUCUCAUACAAUAAAAUUUAGUAUCAUGUCUUGACCAUAUCACAUCACAACAUGCCCUGCAAAAACAAGUUAGACGUCCUCUACUUUGUUUGUUGCAAGUUUUACGUGGCUGCUACGGGCUUAAGCAAGAACCAAUCUUACCUACGCAUCAAAACCACAACGAUAGUUUGUCAAGUUGGUGAUGUUUUAACCUUCGCAAGGACCGGGCGUAGCCACACUCGGUUCAACUAAAGUUGGAGAAACUGACACCCGCCAGCCAGCUGUGUGCAAAGCACGUCGGUAGAACCAGUCUCGCGUAAGCGUAGGCGUAAUGUCGGUCCGGGCCGCUUCAUCCAACAAUACCGCCGAACCAAAGUAUGACAUGCUGGUAAGCAGUAUGACUUAUAUCGCCCACAACUCACCUGUGUUCUACUCGUGCAUAUAACAUCAACACAUAAAACCUAGGCUCGGAUGCCACUGUUGGAGAACGUAGUAAUUUCAAAAAAAUCCUACGCACACGCAAGAUCAUGGUGAUGCAUAGCAACGAGAGGGGAGAGUGUAGUCUCCGUACCCUCGUAGACCGACAGCGGAAGCGUUAUGACAACACGGUUGAUGUAGUCGCAUGUCUUCACGGCCCGACCGAUCAAGCACCAAAACUGUGGCACCUCCGAGUUUUAGCACACGUUCAACUCGAUGACGAUCCCCGGACUCCGAUCCAGCAAAGUGUCGGGGAAGAGUUCCGUCAGCACGACGGCGUGGUGACGAUCUUGAUGUUCUACCAUCGCAGGGCUUCGCCUAAACACCGCAACAAUAUUAUCGAGGAGUAUGGUGGAAGGGGGCACCGCACACGGCUAAGAAAACGAUCACGAGGAUCAACUUGUGUGUCUAGAGGUGCCCCUGCCUCCGUAUAUGAAGGAGCAAAGGGGGGGUGCGGCCGGCCCUAGGAGGAGGUGCGCUGGAGGAGUCCUACUCCUAUCGGGAGUAGGACUCCCCACCUUUCCCUAGUUGGAUUAGGACUGGGGGGGUGUGAAGNNNNNNNNNNNNNNNNNNNNNNNNNNNNNNNNNNNNNNNNNNNNNNNNNNNNNNNNNNNNNNNNNNNNNNNNNNNNNNNNNNNNNNNNNNNNNNNNNNNNNNNNNNNNNNNNNNNNNNNNNNNNNNNNNNNNNNNNNNNNNNNNNNNNNNNNNNNNNNNNNNNNNNNNNNNNNNNNNNNNNNNNNNNNNNNNNNNNNNNNNNNNNNNNNNNNNNNNNNNNNNNNNNNNNNNNNNNNNNNNNNNNNNNNNNNNNNNNNNNNNNNNNNNNNNNNNNNNNNNNNNNNNNNNNNNNNNNNNNNNNNNNNNNNNNNNNNNNNNNNNNNNNNNNNNNNNNNNNNNNNNNNNNNNNNNCCACUAGGCCCAUUAAGGCCCAUUAGGUUACCGGGGGGUUCCGGUAACCUCCCGGUACUCCGGUAAAAUGCCGAUUUCACCCGGAACACUUCCGAUGUCCAAACAUAGGCUUCCAAUAUAUCAAUAUUUAUGUCUCGACCAUUUCGAGACUCCUCGUCAUGUCUGUGAUCACAUCCGGGACUCCGAACAAACUUCGGUUCAUCAAAAUAUAUAAACUCAUAAUGAAAUUGUCAUCGUAACGUUAAGCGUGCGGACCCUACGGGUUCGAGAACAAUGUAGACAUGAUCGAGACAUGUCUCCGGUCAAUAACCAAUAGCGGAACCUGGAUGCUCAUAUUGGCUCCCAUAUAUUCUACGAAGAUCUUUAUCGGUCAGACCGCAUAACAACAUACUUUGUUCCCUUUGUCAUCGGUAUGUUACUUGCCCGAGAUUCGAUCGUCGGUAUCUCAAUACCUAGUUCAAUCUUGUUACCGGCAAGUCUCUUUACUCGUUUCGUAAUACAUCAUCUCGCAACUAACUCAUUAGUUGCAAUGCUUGCAAGGCUUAUGUGAUGUGUAUUACCGAGAGGGCCCAGAGAUACCUCUCCGACAAUCGGAGUGACAAAUCCUAAUCUCGAAAUACGCCAACCCAACAUGUACCUUUGGAGACACCUGUAGAGCUCCUUUAUAAUAACCCAGUUACGUUGUGACGUUUGGUAGCACACAAAGUGUUCCUCCGAUAAACGGGAGUUGCAUAAUCUCAUAGACAUAGGAACAUGUAUAAGUUAUGAAGAAAGCGAUAGCAACAUACUAAAAGAUCGGGUGCUAACCUAAUGGAAUGGGUCAUGUCAAUCACAUCAUUCUCCUAAUGAUGUGAUCCCGCUAAUCAAAUGACAACACAUGUCUAUGGUUAGGAAACAUAACCAUCUUUGAUUAACGAGCUAGUCAAGUAGAGGCACACUAGUGAUGUUUAGUUUGUCUAUGUAUUCACACAAGUAUUAUGUUUCCGGAUAAUACAAUUCUAGCAUGAAUAAUAAACAUUUAUCAUGAUAUAAGGAAAUAAAAUAAUAACUUUAUUAUUGCCUCUAGGGCAUAUUUCCUUCAGAGCCGCACUGGACGGUGGCGCAAUGCAUGAGGUACAGAACUUAAACUCCUUCAUCAUCACAUCAAUCACAACGUUUAUGUCACUAAUAGUUAAUUUCUUAAGAAUAGAGCAUGUCUCCUUGGGCUAAAAUGUAACAAAGUUCAGAAUAUUAAAGUUUAUAUUAUUAACCUUAACUUUCAUUUAUCAAAGAUCUGCACACUUUGUUUUGGAUCCACACACCUAGGCUCGUCUAAUGUGAUCGGAUCUCUCCAGAUUCCUUUUGAUGCAUCACCUGUUACUCUUUUCGGUGAAUUAUGUUAGUAGUAAUCUUGAUUAGCUAGUUGCAUGUGUGUUGUUAGCAGGAUUAGCGUGGUCGUAGCUUAGGUCAAGCAUGUACCUUAUGUUUUGUCUCAUGUAAAAAGCUUAGGACCGUGUUUACUGAAUAAUUAAGUUCUUCUGACAGGGAACUAUGCAUCCUGAAUGGCAUAGACUCUUGGCUUCAUGAAAUGACCCAUGUCUAUGAUUCAAGGUAUCUUAGAUCUUCGAUGUCGGAUGCAAAUAACUGCUUAAUUUCACUUCUCCGCAAUGUUCAUUCUCACAUAUUUCUAUCAUUCUUUGCACGGAUAAAGUAAAGAAAAAGAAGAAAAGAUUAGUAGAAGAUUAGUUUUAGAAUUUCUUCUAUUUCCUUGUAAUUUUUCUUUUAUUGGACACUUGUAAAGACAUUGUAAUAUUCUUACUAUAAUAAAAAUUAUGAUUCUAUUUCAUUUUUUGUUUUAAAUUAUUUUUCCUUAUAGGUUGUUUUCUGUAAAUUUGGAUUUUUUGUUUUCCAAAUACAUUACUAGUGGCGCAUUUCAGCCCUUAUUAGUGGCGCACCUUCCUUUAUUACUAGUGACGCACCUAUAAGGCUAUUAGUGGCGCACCUAGAGGGAAUACCAGUGGAGCACGUAAGGGUUAGUAGUGGCGCACAAGAGGUGCGCCAUUACUAUCUGGAUUACUAAUGACGCACCAGAGAUGCGCCAUUAGUAUCUGUUACUAGUGGCGUGUUAAUAAUGGCACACCUAUAGUGUGCCAUUACUAACGAAAACAGGUGCACCACUAAUAGGGCUUUUUCUAGUAGUGUGGCGUGAGUUGCGAAACUAUUCCGCUUUGUUUCAAAUGUAGACCAAACUCGUAACUCAAAUAUUCUCCUCCACGAUCAGAUCGUAUAAACUUUAUUUUCUUGUUACGAUGAUUUUCAACUUCACUCUGAAAUUCUUUGAACUUUUCAAAUGUUUCAGACUUAUGCUUCAUUAAGUAGAUAUAGCCAUAUCUGCUUAAAUCAUCUGUGAAGGUGAGAAAAUAACGAUAUCCGCCACAAGCUUCAACAUUCAUUGGACCACAUACAUCUGUAUGUAUGAUUUCCAACAAAUCUGUUGCUCUCUCCAUAGUACCGGAGAACGGCGUUUUAGUCAUCUUGCCCAUGAGGCACAGUUCGCAAGUACCAAGUGAUUCAUAAUCAAGUGGUUCCAAAAGUCCAUCAGUAUGGAGUUUCUUCAUGCGCUUUACACCGAUAUGACCUAAACGGCAGUGCCACAAAUAAGUUGCACUAUCAUUAUCAACUCUGCAUCUUUUGGUUUCAACAUUAUGAAUAUGUGUAUCACUACUAUCGAGAUUCAUAAAAAAUAGACCACUCUUCAAGGGUGCAUGACCAUAAAAGAUAUUACUCAUAUAAAUAGAACAACUAUUAUUCUCUAAUUUAAAUGAAUAACCGUCUCGCAUCAAACAAGAUCCUGAUAUAAUGUUCAUGCUCAACGCUGGCACCAAAUAACAAUUAUUUAGGUCUAGUACUAAUCCCGAAGGUAGAUGUAGAGGUAGCGUGCCGACCGCAAUCACAUCGACUUUGGAACCAUUUCCUACGCGCAUCGUCACCUCGUCCUUAGCCAAUCUUCGCUUAAUCCAUAGCCCUUGUUUCGAGUUGCAAAUGUUAGCAACAGAACCAGUAUCAAAUACCCAGGUGCUACUGUGAGCAUUAGUAAGGUACACAUCAAUAACAUGUAUAUCACAUAUACCUUUGUUCACUUUGCCAACCUUCUUAUCCGCCAAAUACAUGGGGCAAUUCCGCUUCCAGUGACCAGUUUGCUUGCAGUAGAAGCACUCAGUCUCAGACUUAGGUCCAGACUUGGAUUUCUUCUCCUGAGUAGCAACUUGUUUGCUGUUCUUCUUGAAGUUACCCUUCUUCUUCCCUUUGCCCUUUUUCUUGAAACUGGUGGUCUUAUUGACCAUCAACACUUGAUGCACCUUCUUGAUUUCUACCUUCGCGGCUUUUAGCAUCGUGAAGAGCUUGGGAAUAGUCUUAUUCAUCCCUUGCAUAUUAUAGUUCAUCACGAAGCUUUUGUAGCUUGGUGGCAGUGAUUGAAGAACUCUGUCAAUGACACUUUCAACAGGAAGAUUAACUCCCAGUUGAGUCAAGUGAUUAUGAUAUCCAGACAUUUUGAGUAUAUGUUCACUGACAAAACUAUUCUUCUCCAUCUUGCAGCUAUAGAACUUAUUGGAGACUUCAUAUCUCUCAAUCCGGGCAUUUGCUUGAAAUAUUAACUUCAACUCCUGAAACAUCUCAUAUGCUCCAUGACGUUCAAAACGUCGUUGAAGACCCGGUUCUAAGCCGUAAAGCAUGGCACACUGAACUAUCGAGUAGUCAUCAGCUUUGAUCUGCCAGACGUUCAUAACAUCUGGUGUUCCUCCUGCAGCAGGCUUGGCACUUAGCGGUGCUUUCAGGACGUAAUUCUUCUGUGCCGCAAUGAGGAUAAUCCUCAAGUUACGGUCCCAGUCCAUGUAAUUGCUACCAUCAUCUUUCAACUUUGCUUUCUCAAGGAACGCAUUAAAAUUCAACGGAACAACAGCACGGGCCAUCUAUCUACAAUCAAACAUAAACAAGAAAGACACUAUCAGGUACUAAGUUCAUGAUAAAUUUAAGUUCAAUUAAUCAUAUUACUUAAUAACUCCCACUUAGAAAGAUAUCCCUCUAAUCCUCUAAGUGAUCACGUGAUCCAAAUCAACUAAACCAUGUCCGAUCAUCACGUGAGAUGGAGUAGUAUCAAUGGUGAACAUCACUAUGUUGAUCAUAUCUACUAUAUGAUUCACGCUCGACCUUUCGGUCUCCGUGUUCCAAGGCCAUAUCUGUUAUAUGCUAGGCUCGUCAAGUUUAACCUGAGUAUUCCGCGUGUGCAACUGUUUUGCACCCGUUGUAUUUGAACGUAGAGCCUAUCACACCCGAUCAUCACGUGGUGUCUCAGCACGAAGAACUUUCGCAAUGGUGCAUACUCAGGGAGAACACUUACUUUGAUAAUUUAGUAAGGGAUCGUCUUAUAAUGCUACCAUCAAUCAAAGCAAGAUAAGAUGCAUAAAAGAUAAACAUCACAUGCAAUCAAUAUAAGUGAUAUGAUAUGGCCAUCAUCAUCUUGUACUUGUGAUCUCCAUCUCCGAAGUACCGUCAUGAUCACCAUCGUCACCGGCGCGACACCUUGAUCUCCGUCGUAGCAUCAUUCUCGUCUCGCCAAUCUUAUGCUUCCACGACUAUCGCUACCGCUUAGUGAUAAAGUAAAGCAUUACAGUGCGAUUGCAUUGCAUACAAUAAAGCGACAACCAUAUGGCUCCUGCCAGUUGCCGAUAACUCGGUUACAAAACAUGAUCAUCUCAUACAAUAAAAUUUAGCAUCAUGUCUUGACCAUAUCACAUCACAACAUGCCCAGCAAAAACAAGUUAGACGUCCUCUACUUUGUUGUUGCAAGUUUUACGUGGCUGCUACGGGCUUAGCAAGAACCGUUCUUACCUACGCAUCAAAACCACAAUGAUAGUUUGUCUAGUUGGUGCUGUUUUAACCUUCGCAAGGACCGGGCGUAGCCACACUCGGUUCAACUAAAGUUGGAGAAACUGACACCCACCAGCCACCUGUGUGCAAAGCACGUCGGUAGAACCAGUCUCGCAUAAGCGUACACGUAAUGUCGGUCCGGGCCGCUUCAUCCAACAAUACCGCUGAACCAAAGUAUGACAUGCUAGUAAGUAGUAUGACUUAUAUCGCCCACAACUCACUUGUGUUCUACUCGUGCAUAACAUCAACGCAUAAAACCAGGCUUGGAUGCCACUGUUGGGGAACGUAGUAAUUUCAAAAAAAUUCCUACGCAUACACAAGAUCAUGGUGAUGCAUAGAAACAAGAGGGGAGAGUGUUGUCUACGUACCCUCGUAGACCGGCAACGGAAGCGUUGACACAACAUAGAGGAAGUAGUCGUACGUCUUCCUGAUCCGACCGAUCCAAGUACCGAACAUACGGCACCUCCGAGUUCUGCACACGUUCAACUCGGUGACGUCCCUCGAGCUCUGAUCCAGCCGAGUGUUGAGGGAGAGUUUUGUCAGCACGACAGCGUGAUGACGGUGAUGAUGUUCUACCGCUGCAGGGCUUCGCCUAAGCACCGCUACAAUAUGACCGAGGUGGAAUAUGGUGGAAGGGGGCACCGCACACAGCUAAGGAACGAUCACGAAGAUCAACUUGUGUGUCAUGGGGUGCCCCCUUGCCCCCAUAUAUAAAGGAGGGAGAAGGAGAGGUUCGGCCGGCCCUAGGGGUGCGCUUGGAGGAGUCCUACUCCCAUUGGGAGUAGGACUCCCCCCUCUUGCCCUGUUGGAGAAGAAAAGAGGAAGGGGGAAAGAGGAAAGGGGGGCACCGCCCCCCUUCCUUGUCCUAUUCGGACUAGGGGGGAGGGGGCGCGCGGCCUGCCCUGGCCGGCCCUCCUCUUCCCCUUAGGGCCCAUGUAGGCCCAUUAAACCCCGGGGGGUUCUGGUAACCCCCCGGUACUCCGGUAAAAUCCCGAUUUCUCCCGAAACGUUUCCGAUAUCCAAAUAUAGGCUUCCAGUAUAUCAAUCUUUAUGUCUCGACCAUUUCGAGACUCCUUGUCAUGUUCGUGGUCACAUCCGGGACUCCGAACAACCUUCGGUACAUCAAAACACAAAAACCCUAAUUACGAUCGUCACCGAACUUUAAGCGUGCGGACCCUACGGGUUCGAGAACUAUGUAGACAUGACCGAGACACGUCUCCGGUCAAUAACCAAUAGCGGAACCUGGAUGCUCAUAUUGGCUCCUACAUAUUCUACGAAGAUUUUUAUCGAUCAGACCGCAUAACAACAUACAUUGUUCCCUUUGUCAUCGGUAUGUUACUUGCCCGAGAUUCGAUCAUCGGUAUCUCAAUACCUAUUUCAAUCUUGUUACCGGCAAGUCUCUUUACUCGUUGCGUAAUACAUCAUCCCGCGACUAACUUAUUAGUUGCAAUGCUUGCAAGGCUUGAGUGAUGUGCAUUACCGAGAGGGCCCAGAGAUACCUCUCCGACAAUCGGAGUGACAAAUCCUAAUCUCGAAAUAUGCCAACCCAACAAGUACCUUUGGAGACACCUGUAGAGCAGCUUUAUAAUCACCCAGUUACGUUGUGAUGUUUGGUAGCACACAAAGUGUUCCUCCGGUAAACGAGAGUUGCAUAAUCUCAUAGUCAUAGGAACAUGUAUAAGUUAUGAAGAAAGCAGUAGCAACAAACUAAAGGAUCAAGUGCUAAGCUAACGGAAUGAGUCAAGUUAAUCACAUCAUUCUCCUAAUGAUGUGAUCCCGUUAAUCAAAUGACAACUCAUGUCUAUGGCUAGGAAACAUAACCAUCUUUGAUCAAUGAGCUAGUCAAGUAGAGGCAUACUAGUGACACUCUGUUUGUCUAUGUAUUCACACAUGUAUUGUGUUUCCGGUUAAUACAAUUCUAGCAUGAAUAUAAACAUUUAUCAUGAUAUAAGGAAAUAAAUAAUAACUUUUAUUAUUGCCUCUAGGGCAUAUUUCCUUCAAUUGGAACGCAGAUCAAUGGUGAAGAAGGGUCUACCACUUAGCUAAGAUUCCACUUGUUAAGUUUUGGAUCUCCUUAAAAGCGAUUGUCGUGGUAUUCUUACAGGGGGGGACGACAAAUGCCACAGGGUGGCUUGAGUGUGAGGGCAAGACUGUUGCCGGAGUAUCCGGGGACGGGUAUGCGAGUAGCACGCGCUGGUUUACCCAGGUUCAGGGCUCUCCGGAGAGAUAAUACCCCUACUCCUGCAUGUCUGAGUAUAUAUGUGGGGUGUACAUCGGGCGGUAGAAAGUGCUCCGGGAGCUGUAUCUGAGAUCAGUAGCAAUGAGAGCUAGCUAGCUAGUUUGGCACAUGAGCUUGGCCAUGUGUGGCCGUGGGAGUGUGUGAGUGCUCUUACGUGAGAGUGUGUGGUGGAUGGAUGGAUGGAUGUGUGCCUUAUAUAGGCAUGGCUAGCUUAGCAUGUAAGCAAUGUGGUGGCAUGGGAGAAAGGGGGUAUGGUGGGGUGUCAUGCUUGUCUCCUGGGUCACUUCAUAAAUAGUGCCCAGGGACAACUGACACUAUACAUGAUGACAUGAGAUGACACGCGAACAGUGCUCCGGUACAGCCAUCUCGUCGGUGUCGAGUUGGUGCAGCGGCCGACUUCGCGCAGCAGGCCGGCUGGAGCAGUCGGCCGGAGGAGUAGGCCGGGUGACGAGUCGGCCCGGGAAGUCGGACAUGGGGCCGUCUGGGGUGGCCUGAGCAGUCGUACUGAGGGGUCUUUGCUAUCCCCGAUGUCUUGAAAUAUCGACUUGCCGUCUUCGGGGUACCUGUGGUCAAUUACCCCGACAGUAGCCCCCGAGCCUCCGGGCAACUUGGCAAAGUUGGGCAGAGGUUUUUUGGUGGGUGUUGAUGUAGCCUCCGAGCCUCCGAGCGAGGAGGGGGGGUCCCCACGGAAAUGAUCAUGCAAAAGGACAAAAUUAGUCCACGCAGAUAUAUCAAAUAUUUGCUUUUAGCAUUGCAAGUUUAUGCGGAGGGUGCCAACUCGGUUUCGUCCGAGCCCCCUUAAUCUUUUUCGUGUUCCCUCCGCUCUUUGGCUUGUGCUCUCGCUUGCCGGACAGCCGCUCUGCGGUCUGUGGCUGAGAGUGGGCCGUUAAGUGGAGUGUACAGUACUCAGACUCUAGGAGCAGAUUCGACCGAGCAGAUACUCGUAAAGUAAACGGCCGGGUCGCCCGAACUGUUUUUCUUCCCAAACGUUUUUCGCGUGGGUGGUCUCCAGCAUUCACUCUUGCUAGCCAAAGAGCCAUUCUGCGGUCUGUGACUAAGAGUGGGCAUUUGGUAUCGCGCACUAUACUAAGCCAUCUACAGGAACUAAUGUCUCAGGCCAAGCGGCCAGCCCUUGGGCCAACUCUGGCUAGCGCCGGGGCGAAUAGUGAUGCAACUGUAAUAAAAUGCUGGGAUAGCCCCCCGAGUAUUGCUCGAGGUCAUCCGUGCUUUCGUGGUGAAAAAAUAUGCGGGUGAGGAGCUCACAUUAAUUUUUGUUCAAGCAAGAUGGAGUUUGCCGAAGACAGCCGGCGCGGCUCGGCGCUCGCGGAGCGCGCCGGCGCACCCGCUGGGUGUAGCCUUCGAGCCUCCGGGUGCUCGAAGGGGGGUCCCGGCCGGUCAGGCUCGAUCGGCCAGGCGGCGAGGCGUCUGGCAGCGCCUUUUUUCUUCUUUUUUUCUCAUCUGUCGGUUGCUGGCAGCCGGACAAAACUCUUCUUUUGUCUCUUGUUUUUGCUUCUUACAAUCUUCCAUGGGGGCGCGUCAGCGCACCCACUAUGUAUAGCCCCCGAGAUUCGGGCCGACUGCUGAGCAGUCGGGCCAGAUCUUCCAGUAACUACUUUGUCUUCUUUCUUGCGAGGGCGCGUCAGCGCACCAGCUGGGUGUAGCCCCCGAGAUUCGGGCCGAUUGCUGAGCAGUCGGGCCGGAUCUCCCGGCGACUACUUUGUCUUCUUCCUCGCGGGGGCGCGUCAGCGCACCCGUUCAGUGUAGCCCCCGAGAUUCGGGCCGACUGCUGAGCAGUUCGGCCGGAUCUCCUGGCGAUUACUUUGUCUUCUUUGUUGGAGUUGACGUUCUUUCUCUUCUUUUUUUUGUAUGCCCGUAUAGUCGGACGGACACUUCUUCUUCUGCUUCGUUUCUCGGACGCCCUCUUUUUUUACCAACAGUCGGACUCUCUUUACUUUCUGUCCUGCCGGGUGGGCAGCCGGGCAUAUUUUGUCAUUUGGCUGCUGCGUUGACCCAGCCGACCUCUUUUUUUUGGCAGCGACUUCUCCUCCAGCCGACUGGGCAGCCGGCAGCGUCUCUCUCUUUUUUCUUCUUUUUUUCUUGGCAGCAGCCGACUUCAACAUUUUUUCUAGCCGGCCGUCCUUUUUUUUCCAGCCGGCCAUUGGGCAGGUGGUCCUUUUUCUAUCUGCAUGGAGUAGCCAGCCGGGGCACAACUCGACGGGGUGCCAAGCCAAGGCGGGCCGCAGGCGAAGGCGGCCAGUCAGGGAGUCGGCCACCCGGGGAUGGGAUGCGGUUAGGGCGGAGCAGAGGGGUGCGGCGACCUGGCGGCCGGGCGCUGGCGAUGCCGGCCGCGCGGACAGAGCCGGGGCUACGAGGGAGGGAGCCGGUAGCCGGCGGCGGCGCAGGCGGCCACGGGUGCACCCAGCGGGNNNNNNNNNNNNNNNNNNNNNNNNNNNNNNNNNNNNNNNNNNNNNNNNNNNNNNNNNNNNNNNNNNNNNNNNNNNNNNNNNNNNNNNNNNNNNNNNNNNNNNNNNNNNNNNNNNNNNNNNNNNNNNNNNNNNNNNNNNNNNNNNNNNNNNNNNNNNNNNNNNNNNNNNNNNNNNNNNNNNNNNNNNNNNNNNNNNNNNNNNNNNNNNNNNNNNNNNNNNNNNNNNNNNNNNNNNNNNNNNNNNNNNNNNNNNNNNNNNNNNNNNNNNNNNNNNNNNNNNNNNNNNNNNAGGCGGACGAGCGGGCGGAGCCGCGUAGCAAGAGAGCAGGGGGUGGAGGCCGACAGGCGUAGGCGGUCGAGGCCACGGGGGCGCGCGCAGGCGUAGCAGAGGGAGCGCGGCGACGGGGAGACGCGCGUGCGGGCCUCAGCGCCCAUGAGGUGGAGGCGGCGGGCGCGCGCACGCGCGAAACUGGGCGAGGCAGAGACCGGGGUGGCCGGGCGGGGCCGAUGCGCGGGGAGCGGCCGGUGGAGGCACUCGGGCGCGGCGGGCUGGUGGUCCAGGGACACGUAGGGACAGCCGCAAGAGGAGCUGCAGUGCCCGCGGGCUUGGGCGGUGGUGGAAGCAGCGGGCACAGCAGCAGGCAGUAGAAGCAGUAGGUGGCGGCGUUGCUGCAGGGAGUUCGACCGACCAUUGAUGGAGGAGGAGGAGGCCGGGAGGGGCUCGCCGGCGCGGCCCUUGCCGGAGCCAAUGGUCAGCGCGAGGUGGAGGAGCUCGGGCGUGGCCCGGCGCUGGUGCUGUGUUUUGGCUUUCGGUUUGCAUUUUUUUCGCCCCUGGAUGAGAUGGACGAAAUUCGGCCAUUUCAAAAAUUCCGAUCAAAUAUCGGACGAAAUUACAAAACUAAAAUUUGAAUUUCAAAUGAAAUUUGACUGAAAUCUUGUGGAAAUUCUGCUGAAAAAAUUGAAAACAAGAAGAGCAAAAAUAUAGCAGUAGAACAACUCUAAGGAGUACGUAUGUACGUAUAUAUUCACCAAACUUUGCAUCAGUCAAACAUCACCAUCAGAUCCACAAAGAUUGAAACAAGGACGGGGAGAUGUGCUGCGGAGUUGAGGAGUUGCCGCUGGAUUCACCUGCAUCCCGCAGCCAGCAGAGGUCAGCAGCAGGGGCCGGGCUGCUGGGAUGACCCGAACGGGGCAGGAGCGGCACGCUCGAGCUGGGAGGCAGCCGACGACGAUUGGAGGAGCCGCGAGCCCGCGACUGGGCGCAGCGCCACCACCGCCGCACACACGGGGGACUGGGGAUCAUGAAUUGUUUAGGGUUCGGGCGUGGUUCGAUAGGCAAACUGUGGAGAGGCCACAGAAGUUGGAUUGGGCCAAAAACAAGUUCAAAGAGGGCCGAAAAUUUCGGCUGACACAGACAAUUAUCAGGCCAGGCGAGAUGGCCGAAGUAGGAGGAGGCAGGGGCUGCCCGCUGGAGCAAAGCGAGGCAAUGUAUGGCUAGUGUACGGGAUAUGUUCGACUUGUGUAUGGCUAUGCGUUGACCAUUGCUUGACUCGCAUCUAGCUAGCUAGCAUAGAUGAUAUAUGGAGUAGAGAACACCCGCUCUGGCCAGAGCAAAGCGCAGCGCGGAGGGGAGUAGACACGAGCAGCGCGUGGAUGGACACGGCCGACCGAAACGAGGCCGCACGUGCGGCAGGAGUGCGGACGGACGGCCGGCAUUGUGGUGGUGGCGAAGAGGGUGAGGCCGACGAUGAGGGCCCGCCGCCCCUCGCGGCCACUCCGGGGGCGUGUCGAUGUCGAGCCUCCGACUGCUAUCAAAGAGACGGCGCGACACCGCGGCGGUGGAGACAAAGAUGGUCCCGCCCGGACUGCGAAACAAGCAGCAACAAGCCCCAUGGUGUGCGCCAACAGUCGUGGUAUUCGUACGGGGGGGUGGGGGGUGGGGGGGGGGAGACGACGGAUACCACAAGGUGGCUUGAGUGUGAGGGCAAGACUGUUGCCGGAUUAUCCGGAGACGGGUAUGCGAGUAGCACGCGCUGGUUUACCCAGGUUCGGGGCUCUCCGGAGAGAUAAUACCCCUACUCCUGUAUGUCUGAGUAUAUAUGUGGGAUGUACAUCGGGCAGUACAAAGUUCUUCUGGAGCUAUAUCUGAUAUCAGUAACAAUGAGAGCUAGCUAGCUAGUGUGGCACAUGAGCUUGGCCAUGUAUGGUCGUGGGAGUGUGUGCUCCCGUGAGUGCUCUUACGUGAGAGUGUGUGGUGGGUGGAUGGAUGGAUGUGUGCUUCGUAUAGGCAUGACUAGCUUAGCAUGUAAGCUAUGCGGUGGCAUGGGAGCAAGGGGCAUGGUGGGGUGUCAUGCUUGUCUCCUGAGUCACUUCAUAAAUAGUAUCCAGGGACAAAUGACACUAUACAUGAUAACAUGAGGGCAUGAACAGUGCUCAGGUACAGCCGUCUCGUCGGUGUCGGGUCGGUGCAGCGGCCGACUCCGCGCAGCAGGCCGGCUGGAGCAACAGGCCGGAGGAGUAGGCCGGGUGAUGAGUCGGCUCGGGUAGUCGGACAGGGAGCCGUCUAGGGCGGCCUGAGCAGUCGGACUGAGGGGCUUUCGCUAGCCCCGAUGUCUUGAAAUAUCAUCUUGCCGUCUUCGAGGUACCCGUGGCCAAUUAUCCCGACAGUGAUCCUCUUUCACAUGCUACUCAAGCUUGAGUAGAUAAGUGAUCCCCGCACGCUGCUCCUUCACCUUGCGUGUGCGUCAUGUUUCGUGAUUGAGCCAAGCUGAUGUUAGACCUAUGUCAUGUUUGCACUUAAUUUUUGCUGGUCAAUAACAGAUUAUUAAUUGACCAUUAGUUAUGAGUCAUUAAAGGACACGCCACAAAUCUGAGAUGUCUGAUCACGGGCUGUUGCAUAAUUGGACGUCUGUCCAGCCCAGGUCUCCCUACCCCGACUACGCCUAUACAUUGGAGGCAUCGGCAACCCUAGCUGCCAACCAGAUCAGAUCACAUUUGCCUCCUGGCACACACCGCCUAUCGUUGCUCCUCUGGUUGUUGUUGCUUUCGGCAAUCCCAUCCCGUCCACCGUAUGCACAGUUAUACGACAGAGUAGGCCUCCAGGACCCAAGCCUUUAUGAUCCUGCACUAAGAGAAGGGCGAUUAAGUAUUUGGGGAGCGUCAUCUGCGCGAAUGCUCGCCGCUAUUCGUCUUUGUCCACUACAUCGUCUAUCUCCAUAUUGCCUUAGUCAUCAACAUGUCCACCGAAGACGAAAAGCUCGUUGCCUAGAAGAUGGCCACCCAGGAGACUGUUGUCGCCGCCGGCGCCACGGCUACGACCUGGCCGGCUGGAGGGUAUAACUUGUUUAUCCCGCUCUUGUUUAUUUCGUGUUAGCCAUACUAGCUAUUUACAUAGAUAUUUCUGAUAUAUGUCUAGUACGUGCUUACAAGAUCAAAUAUGAGUAUUUGGUCAAUAUUGUCAAUACCAUGUUCAUGACUUAUUUCUAGAUUAAUUUAAUUUCCUAAUAUACUCAACAAUUCAAAAACCUAAUACUUUUUAGCAAUUUUUGAUUAAUGGCUUUGCCGCUAUACUAAAACUAGCCCUGUUUACAGGAACAUACUUUAAGCAUUGGUAGACCAAAACUAUUUUGUGACUCACAACUUUGAUGUUGUUCUGGGUCGUUAGUGACACUUUUGAAGGAAUGAUUACUUCUGUAUUGAAGAAUGCGUUCAGGGAGUCAACUAUCAUCUUUGUUGGAGCUAUUCUGAGUGUGAUCCGAGAAAAACUAGUCGACACAUAUUUACUUUGCGGGUUGCCCAGGACUUGUGGAAUGCGCUUGAAGCAAAAUUCGGUGCAACCGAUGCUGGAAGUGAGAUAUAUGUCGUGGAGCAGUUCCAUGAUCACACAAUGGUUGAGGACCGCCCUGCAUUGGACUAGACUCAUGAGAUAUAGUACAUUGUUAAGGAGCUCGAGCUUCUUAAGUAUGAGUUAUCGAGCAAGUUUGUCACGAGUUGCAUAAUUGCUGAACUUCCUCCUCCCUGGAGGAGUUUUCUUACCAGUCCGAAACAUCAGAGACGUGAAUUCUCGGUAGAGGAUGUCAUUAGUCAUCUGAGUGUCGAGCAGACUCCAAUCAAAGGGCUCGGGGUAAAAGGGCUCCAGGAGCUUCUGUCGCCAAAUGGUACAAAAAACUUCCACAACUUAAAGGGAAAGAACGGGCUCCAACAGACUACCGACAUCAACAAGAAGGGUAAGAAGACCUUCAAAAAGGACAAGAAAGACAAGAAAAAAGAUAUUUGGUUUACUUGUGGUUUUGAGGAACAGUGGACCAAGAAGUGCCCGAACAAGCACCAGAAACCAAGAAAGGACCCCAAGUCUGUCAACAUGAUUAUGAGCAAGAAUGAUAAUGGGGCAUCUCAAUACGGUAAUUCAUUUACUGUAUUGUCAGUUUAUCAGUAUACGGAUUGGUGGGUUGAUGUCGGUGUAAAUAUUCAUAUGUGUGGUGAUAUUUUGUUGUUCUCUUCUUACCAGGUCACAUGAGAUGCGUCUGGUCCCCAUUCUCUAGCAGUACUCUUCAUUUUGUGUACUUUUUAUUAUAUUUGUCAUAUUUAAAGGUGUGAAGCUAGUUUUGUCGAAGAUUUUAUUUUAUCUUGAUUAUUGAAAAAGUGGACAACCAUUUUUAGGUUUAUGAACAUUUUUUAUUGUAAAUGUGUUGAAUGUACCGAUUGAAAUGUGCAUGUUGAUUAUUUAUGGUUACAAUUCAAAAUAGCGGCUCAACAGCAUAUGGUAUGCAUUUGAUCUCACAUAUCCACAAAACAACAAAACCAAAAAAAUUGAAUUUGGAAUCCAAAUCCCACCAAAUAAAAUCCUUGCAGGAAUCUAUUUUCAUUUCAAUUCUACCAAACGAAAUGAAAACUUGGGUCUAAAACGAGUUUCUAGGGAAAUUUGUCCCAGUAAACAUCCAUGUGAUACUUAAUGCAUUCCGACCUGCCCAGCAGCAGUGACACACAUAACAAGUUGUUGCAUGCCGACCAGAUCAGCCAACGACUUCGUUUUUCAUGGUUGUUCAAAGUUCGGCAAGUCGACCACUGAAUUCCUACCAAGCGCCAGAGAACUUGAAUCCCGAUUCAGAUCAAGAGCAAGGCGUUGGGGUUUGAAGAUAAUUUCACCGAAUCUGAUUGCGAUAGCACGAUGCAUGCACACUCCGUCGCUCUUGUUGUUCUUCACCCAUUGAUUGGUCUGACGUAGGUCUGCAGCAAUGCAGCAGUGCACUCCGUGUGGAUUAGUUUGUUGCCCCGCACACCUACGUUCCCAUACCUCCCAAUCCCACUACACCCUUGACGCUACGUAAGUACACCGUGAACAAUUGUAAGUCUGGCAAACUAGCAAUAGAUGAACCACGCUCCUAAGCUAACCCUUUAAGGCCAAAUCGUGUAUUGACAACCGAGACCAACCGACGAUUUAUAAAGGCCCUACUGAGACCAAUGAAUGUGGUAUAUAUCGCCAUGUAGGGCCACUCUGACUGCAAAAUUUAAAAGCUGGUAUCUAAAUCUAGACGUAUGAGACGAGUAAUUGGGCUCGACCCCAGUAGCUAGCAAAGCCGAGAUGUCUGAGUGGGUUUAAACACAACACGGAGGAACAUCGAUGCCGGAACUAAGAAAACCGAGGAGAAAAUGUUCUUUCUGAAAAAAAGGAGACAACGUUGCAUCAACUUCAAGUUGCCAGUAACAUUAUCUAUGUCAUGUCAAUUACAUACUGAUCUUUGAGAUGAGAAAUAAGAUUAUUUGAGGCAAAAUAAACCAGUCUAGUUUUUUGAAAUGCGGCCCCUUAGGACCCGAUUCAUUAAGAAUGUCGAAGAGAGUUGCCUAGUCAAUUAAUGAAAAACCAUGCCAAAAUUGUCACAACAGGCUAGCAAAGGUAGGGCACACAUGGCAGCCUGGCAACCAACAAAAGAACGCACAUAUGUCGUCGAGGAGAAAUGCGUCGUCGAGGUUGCAAUCUGAUGUCAUUGUCAUCACACCUCCGCGAGGGCGACUCCGACUCCACCAUCAACGACCACCGAUGUAGCCCUCACCGUAAAUAACCGCCGACACAAACCAUAACAAAACUUGAAGGAGCACCAAAACACAGAGCCCUUCCGCCAGCAAGGGCCGGGAUCCUUCGCACACCCAUGGUCAUAAGGCCAUAGGAGACGUGGCAGAUCGGCGGUGCCGCCGACGGAAGGCAGAAACCCUAGCCGCCUUUCCUUAGGAGGAGAGACGCGCGCUGCAGGUGGAUGUACGGUACUGCUACACAUUUGUUAUAGAUAGAAGACAUUGUUGAAUCAUAUACCUCAUGUUUUUUUUUGCGGGAAUUAAAGUGCAACUAUCCUUAGGUGGUUUUGGUAAUUCCUAACAACAUAUAGCUCAUUGAACUAAUGCUAUUCCAAGAUGAAUAUUUCAGGAAAGCUCAAUGAUUGACAUGGAUUAGAAAGUGGACCCUUCAAAAUGCGAAAGAUAAAUGAUUGGCUCAAGCUCAAAGCACAAGACUCUACAUUUUCUAUUUUAGUGAUCCAAGAUCACAUUGAGUCUAUAGGAAAAGUCAAUACUAUUAAGAAGGGAUGAGGUGUUGCUUAAUGAGGUGCUUGCUCAAAAUGCUUAGUGAUAUGCUCCAAAACUCUCCACUACUUUCUUAUAUCCACAUAUGUCCCACACCAAAUAUCCAACUCGGCCCCACCGAUUCUUUCUAUCCGGCGCCACCGAGUUCAGUUGACAUAGCCACUGCCAGAAACCCUAGUCUUUUCGGUCUCACCGAUAAGGAUCUCGGUCUCAUCGAGAUGGGAUUGUAACCUCUCUGUUUCCCCUCGUAACGUUUCGGUCAAACCGAGAUGAGCGAUCGGUCCCACCGAGAUUGCAAUGCAAACACUCUGUUCCCCUUUCGUAACGUUUCGGUCCAACCGAGAUGAGCGAAUCGGUCCCACCGAGUUUGCCUGACCAACUCUUUGUUUGUCUAUUACCAAAAUCGGCCCCACCGAGUUUGUGUAAUCGGUCUCACCGAGAUUACAUUAUGCCCUAACCCUAAUGAAAUCGGUCCCACCGAGUUGACAUGUCGGUUCCACAGAAACACCUAACGGUCACAUUAUGAACCAAAUCGGUCUGACGGAGUUCUCUGAAUCGGUCCCACCGAGUUUGGUGAUUUGUGUGUAACAGUUAGAUUUUGUGUGGAGGCUAUAAAUACCCCUCCACCCACUCUUCAUUAGUAAAGAGAGCCAUCAGAAUAUGCCUACACUUUCAAUACAUAUUUUUUGAGAACCACCUACACUUGUGUUGAUGUCAAGAUAUUCCAUUCCAACCACAUAAACCUUGAUCUCUAGCCUUCUCCAAGUUGCUUUCCACUCAAAUCUUCUUUCUACCAAAUCUAAUCUUAUGAGAGAGAGUUGAGUGUUGGGGAUACUAACAUUUGAAGCACAAGAGCAAUGAGUUCAUCAUCAACACACCAUUUGUUACUUCUUGAAGAGUGGUGUCUCCUAGAUUGGGUAGGUGUCACUUGAGAGCCUCCGACAAGAUUGUGGAGUUGAACCAAGGAGUUUGUAAGGGCAAGGAGAUCGCCUACUUCAUGAAGAUCUACCCUAGUGAGGCAAGUCCUUCAUGGGCGACGACCAUGGUGGGAUAGACAAGGUUGCUUCUUCAUGGAUCCUUCAUGGACCGCGCAACCGUUACCCUCCGUGGGUUGAAGUCUCCAUCAACGUGGAUGUAGAUAGCACCACCUCACGGACAAAAAAUCUCCGUGUCAACAUUGCGUUUGCUCCCUCAAACUCAUCCCUUUACCUUCAUAUUCAAUUGUUUUACAUUCCAUUACUAUACUCUUAGAAUUGCAUGUGUAGGUUGAUUGCUUGACUUGUGCUAUGUUGCUAAAAUCUGCCAAGAACUAAAAUUGGGAGAAGGCUAGAUUUUUAUUUGGUCAAGUAGUCUAAUCACCCCCCCUCUAGACAUACUUUCGAUCCUACAGGGAAACUUCGAGCUUUAUUCAACCAAUCUCUGUUCCCGCACGAUCAGCCAAAACACUGGUCAUGAGGAAGCCAGGAGGGGAGUCCAUCCAGCAGUCAGUAAUCCCCAGGGUGCAGGCAUGCUUAGCAUACAAGUGGGCCGACAUAUUGGAGUUUCUCAAUACAUGUUGAACAUCAAAUGAAAGAAAGGAUAAGGCUAGCUCUUCUAUUUCUAGUAAUAACGGUGCUACGAUGGAGCGCGGAAAACGUCGCGAGUGACAUAGUUGAACCAAUUCUAAGCAAUCUGUUUCCAUGAGCACUUGCAAGAAGCCUCGAAGCUGUGCGAAAAUCACCCCAUCUCGCAUAGCAAACGCUUCUGCUAUUAUGGGAUCUGUGAUGUCGGGGUAAGGUUUGCUCCAGGCGGCAAUGAAGGUCGAGGAAGUUCGUGCCACUCCUCCAGCUCCACUCUUAUGUUCAAUCACUGAGACACUAGCAUCUAUGUUCACUUUUACCCAGCCUUGAUCAGGUGGCCUCCAACCAUAGCCAGGUAAAACCUUGGUCUGUUCCAAGGAAAGCUCCAAUAGGCAAGAGCUUCUCUUAUGCGUUUGAGAGAUUGCGCCGGGUUCAUACUCACUUUGUCAUGCGUUAUGUUAUUGCGAGAGGCCCAUAUAGCCCACAUAACAGUGACAAUUUUCGCCCGAUCACUUUCUGAGAACCGGGAGUCGCAAAGGAUAUCCUUGCACCAAGUCAUAUGAUGUAAUUCCGGUAGCUUGAUAUGCAGCCAAUUCCGUGCUUCUAUCCAGAUCGUUUGAGCAUGUGAACACUUGAUCAAUGCAUGCAUCAAAUCUUCAUCCGCUCCCAUGCAAACUUUGCAACGUGCUAAUGUUGCAAUAUGCCUGAACUGUGGUGUUCUCUCCACCGGAAGGAUACCAUGGAGGACCCUCCACCAGAACACACGCACCUUAGGUAGCACUUUGAGCUUCCAUAGUCGCGUCCUAUACCUCCUGUAGGGUUGGGAAUACCGAGAAAAAAAAUGUACAACCCUUAGCGAGAGCGCAUGCUAUAUUGACCGGGCCAUUCCUGGUUUCCACCCCACUAGUUUUCGGAAGGUUUCUAGAACCUUCCCUGAACCAGUUUUCUGUGUGUGUGUGUUUUCUUUCGGUCUUUGGUUUCUUUUUUUUUCAAUUUAUAUUUCUGUUAACAUUUUCUGAUAUUUUAAUGUUUUUUGAAACACAGUAAAAUUUUCAAAUCUAUGAAGAGUUUUUUACAUAUUGGAACUUUUUUUCAAAUUCGAGAACAUUUUUUUUGAACUUCAGGAAUGUUUUCCUGUUUAUAACUCUGGGAACAUUGGUAAAAUUAAUGAACAUUUUUAAUACAGGAACAAAUUUCAAAUUCAUGAAUAGUUUUUGAAAUCCUAGACCAAUUUUCGAAAUCAUGUGCUUUUUCAAAUUUUGGAAUAGUUUUUAUCACAUUUCUGCAUGUUUUUUAAAUCCAGCAACAUUUUUCAAAUUCAUGAACGUUUUUUGAAAUUUAAGAUCAUUUUUUACUCCCUUGAUUUUUUUAAAUUAGGAAUAUGUUUUGAAAUUCAAAACUUCAUUUAAAUCUCAAAUAUUUCUUAAAGAAGUAAAAAUGAAUAACACACAAAACUGUAAGAAAAAAGGAAAAAAACUGGGGGCACCUCGCCUCACAAUUGGCCAGCCCAAAGGACGCACGGGGGUUGGCGGGUGCGUGUUUGCUUCACUCGUGCCGCACUAUACUGGGACUAGGAGGUCUUGACAACGCCUAUCAGUCAAGCUCAGAAAUUUUCUCAUUGUGGAGCUAAAAUUUGGCAUGACCACUGCUAACACCUACUACCACUCGUGACACCUACCUAGAUAUUACAAGUGUAGUCCUAAACAGUAGCAAUGUCUCCAUAAUUGCGUUGUUAUUACUAGGUCGCCACUCGACUGUUGUACGCUAAGCCUUGUCAUCUGCAUAUAAUGCGAGAUUAGGGGAGAAUCUAGACAAGACUACAAGGUUCAGCCAGCUUACAAGCAUACACCUCACACACGGGCAUCAGACCCUGCAUUCUAACAUUUUUGUGCAAGGCUUCGUAAGAAACACCUAGCAUGAGUUGGGUAUUACCUCUACAAACAAAGAGUCCAAACCUGGGUGAAAGAUCUUUUGUGUGAAAUCUCAUGACUAGAUCAUCUGCGCGAGCCCUCUUCAAAAAAUCUGCAAAUCGUGAGUAUUGUCGUGAAAUCCCGGUGACAAGACAUGAGUUGAUUUCAUUAUGUCAUUUGAGCUCUCAUGUAACAAAAAAAUAUUAGUAUGUAAAAUUUGAAAUAAAACUCUGUAUUUAUUUUGCGUACAAAAAAGUGCAUUCUAGGUACUGGAAUCAGAUCAUUUAUAUAUGUUUUAUGAAUGAUCAUUUUUAACUCUGAUGGCCGACACAAUGCUCCACAUUUUUCCCACAAUAAACAUUGGCCUUUGUUAUAUAUUUUGUAGCUUGUUCAGGAAUUUAAAUAUAUGCAUGGAUCCGUUUUUCUAGCCGUGAAAAUCUCAGGAAACCAACAUCGGAUAUAUGAUCUCUCACAUAAGGAAAUAACUGAAUAUACAUGGCCAAACAAACAAUUCCGCUAACUUUUGUGGUCGCUAGCAUGGAGGGUACUGGAUCGAAGUGACCCCUUUUCACACCAACACAAUGUCAUAUUAUACCUCUAACAUCUAGUCUAGAUGCAAAAUCGAGGAUAGGUGGUACCUUGCUCUUGGGAAUGAGUAAAAGCAACCAGUUGGGAAAGAACACCAGAUUGAGGGACGGUACUUCUAGCAGGUAACAACAGCGUCUGCAACUUCCGGGUGACUCCCAUGCCUACGCACAUGGCACUAGACUAGUAGGAUUAUCUAUCCAAGAAUGAGUGUAGGUACCUAGCCAAGGCAGCAUGCAUUCAGCCAAUGCAAAGAGGAAGGGCCAGCAUGCUCGAUCUAUUUAAACGGGUAUCUCGCUCGUUUAUUUUAUUCAAUGUUAUAUCUGUAAAGGUGGGGAUUCUCAAAGUGUAUUAUUUUGGUGGGGAUAAGAUGCACCAACACUGACGAGUUCAUACUCCAUCGCAAGCUGAAUAUUUUUGAUGAGCACCGAGCAUGUGCGCCGUACUAUGUUCCUUUCAAAUUAAACGCGCAUUCUUGUGCCGCUCUAGUUCACAGCUUUUCUCAAGUAUUUCCCCGCUUUGACUCAAAGUUAGACAUAAAAAUUAACCACAAAAUAGAAAUGAAUAUUGGCUAGAAGUAUGCUAUCCGGACAUGCACUUGGCGCCAAUGUGGUAUGUUGUCAUGCAUACUUCAAAAGACGUUGAUGACCUGUGGCUCUAUAUCACCAUGGCCUGCCAAUGUUCAUCGUCGGUUGCCCAAAUCCCAUGCUCGUACCAACCUGGGUUGCACUGCUCAUCGUGACCCAGUGCCUUGCUCGUUGCCAUCCGGUGCAUGCAACAUGCCGUCCCUCCCUUAUGGAGCACAUUCCAUCUUAUUUUCACCUUGUGUCAAGGUAAUUGUAAUGAGUUGUUUGCACAACCAGUUGAAGAUGCAUUGCCCAUGGGCCCAGACUGCAGAGAGGCCCAAGUUCGACAUCCCUAAGAGUUCCUGCCGCCUCCAAAUCCUAGAGUGUGCAGCACUGCCCUCCAACUCGGAGGAAGCCACCAGGACGGUGUCCAAUAUAUGUCACACAAGCAAGAAGCAAUGUCAAGAGCAGGGAGGAAUCCUGGCACACCUAGCUAGAGUGAAUGGUCAGACACUACAUCGACCUCUGUGUGUGUGAGAUUAUUCAUUAUAUAGUCGACUAUGGGUCCAACUGUCUGUCAAUAUGGAUGGACUCUACCCGAGAAAAAAAUUGUUGUUUGCGAUCCCCUAGGGACUUAUAUGGAGCUGACAUUUUAAACCCAACAAAAAAUUGGAGGUCGCCAAAGGACAAUCAAGUCGUAUCGCAUCUAAAUAUAAUUAUUCUUCAGAGUUCUCGUACGUCAUACCUUUCAACUCUUAGAUUCUUAAUGUAUAUGUACAAGCUUUAAAUAUAGCCAAGAAAUUUGACAUGAAAGUGUCACAACUUAGGAAGAUGCUCAAGACACCCCAAGCAAAAAUAAUAAUUUCAUGAAAAUGAUUGAACUAGAUAUUAGCAUAUAUGCAGAUUCAGGUUGGCAAAAUGUUCUAGUUAUCUCCCAAGUCAUAUCUAAAGUAAAGCAACCAUACAGUGUUAAGAUAGUUUCGUGUUUGUGUGUUGUGCUCAUAGAUUUUUCUUUUGAACUAAUAAUGUAAUUAACAUAUAAAAUAAAUAUUAAAAAAGUGAUACAUUAUAACUAAAUUAAUGUUUUUGUACACUUGUUGACGUAAUUUAUCCCUAAAUUGUCGAACAGAAGUUACUGAUGUUUAACCUAGUAGUAUCACACAAUGAAGCAAUAAAAUCAAUACUUUCCCACCAAAAUUUAAGACAACCGUUGGGUGAAGUUUUUCCUGGUUGCAUGUUCCUGCAUUAAUUAAUUAGUGCUAUCCAAUGGAGAAAUUCCUUCCAACAGAAGUCGUGCCUUGCAAAAAUGUAGGGCAUAAUCUAGAAUGGUGGAUAUAAACUGGCAACUCAAUUGAUGCUCCGCAUCAGACUGAAGGUUCAAAUUCUCUCGAGGUAACUCAACUAAUUGUCCGAAACUAGUGAUGCAAACAAUAAGAAACAUGGUGCCUACAACCAUAUAACAAGCAGCUUAUCACUAGAAGUGGAAGCAAUGCAGGUAUGAAUAUAUGUGAAGGUACUAUAUCAGUAGGUUGUUUGUACACAAGUCUUCCUGACACUUCCUAAGCCAAGAUUAUGUGGUGCCAUUGGUAUCUCAAUGUCAUCCUCCACCUCCAUUAUGUGAGCUGUCACAAUGUGUGUUUUGUGCGCCUCACAUGCAGGUAGCAACACCGAGAGGUGGAAUGAGGCAGGAAAUUGGAGUAAAGUCGGUGAGAGAUAAUAACAGCAGUGAAUUUCUAUAUAUGUGGGGUUUCUUACUCUUUAUAUCUUUUAUGUGUCCAACUGUCCAGAGGAACUAGUUGGUCUUUUGCGUGCCAGUGGAACAUAUGGAGACGGCAUAACGAGCUAAACUGUGUGAAGGUAUGAUUGAAGGAAAAGCAUCUUAUGGCGCCUGCCAAUGUUUAAUAUUCCCAACAUGUAAGCUGCUUCUGAAGCUGACCCAUGUUUUGGUAUCUAUGACUUCAACGUCAGAACAAAGGCAAACGCUUUGGGUGCAAUAAAAACAGACUAUCAACGAGAUCAAAGGACUCCAGGUAGUCCAGGCAUAAUCCCUUAAUUUGGGAACCAAUCUUAGGCGCAGUCUCCUAGGUAUACAUGUCAGGAAGCAAUACGUUGACAGGGAGGUGAGCCUGCUCUAUAUAAAAAGGACACGAUAUACGAUGUACAUCCUUAUUGAACUACGUCGUCUAGGUGUUCCUAUUUAGGUGAGCCUAGUUUUAUCGUCACUGUCCAUGUACUGUCAAGGACCAUUGCCGGAGUACAUUCUUUCCUUGCACCGGGCUGGUUCCAUUGCUUGCCUUUCCAUGAAAACCGUGCGUUGAAUUCUUUUCACCAUUGAAGCUGGGGCCACAAAAAAAACCCG
RNAcentral lists this long non-coding RNA (74815 nucleotides) under Triticum aestivum (bread wheat). Its description in RNAcentral is "long non-coding RNA (TAES_LNC006084)". Lineage: Eukaryota; Viridiplantae; Streptophyta; Magnoliopsida; Poales; Poaceae. The record is from RNAcentral.